GUCACAGCAGAAAACCGCCAUGGAAGCUGUUCCCGUCGCUGAUUCUGGAAAAUAUAUUCCAGCAUCACAGCGUCCUGACGGGACUUGGCGAAAACCAAGGCGUGUGAGGGAAGGAUAUGUGCCUCAAGAGGAAGUGCCAGUGAUCAUGGCGACAGGGAAUGCAGCAACCUCAACAGUUUUUUGAAGAACAUCAGGAACCUCUUUACCAAGCUCCAACAAGCAUCGAUGUUGCAGUUAAAGAAAAGUAUUGCAAUUUGUGUGUUAAACGUUGAUAAAUUUUGACAAAUGAACAAGGAUUCUAUUGGCAAAAAGAGAAUCUCCAAAGAUGAACCCUAUGGUUUGGAUUCAGUGAUUGAAACAGGACAACAUCUUCACAUUGAUUGGUUAUAAUGUUGAAUGUCUGUCAAUCAUCUGGGGGGAAAUUAAAUGGGUCUACUGAUGAAUGUCAUUAUUGGAACAGAUAUCUUCUGGAAUAUGUAUACUGGAUAGUUUUCUACCAUAGAAAAGGAAACAGCUGAGUCUUUUCCAACACAUUCAAUCACUGAAUGUCUGCGUCUACCAGCAAGAAUCUGCUUUCAUCAGAGAUUCGCAGGAAGAGGGCCAAUCAGCAGGCAUCUGGAGUUAUGUAGUCAACUUUAGAUUAGUCUAUUACAACAGAAAGCUGGAUGUGAUAUUACAGAAAGUGGGAUGAAAACAGCUGAAAUAAAUUCUCCAAAGAACAUCAGGAACCUGUUCAACGGAGCUCCAUGAAGUCCUUGAUGCCACAGUUGUUUGAAGAAUUGACAACAUAUACCCAUUCAUGGCCAUAAAUACUGGCAUGUGAACUGAGUUAAUUGAGAAACCAUGUCUCCAGAAAGGAAUCUGAAGUUUUGGAUGCAAUAUUUGAUACAGGGUGAUAUUGGUUGAGAUGUUGAAUAUUUAUGAAUCGUCUGGGGGGAAAAGAGAAAGGGGCCACUGAUGGAUGAUAGAAUGCUUUUGGGAAUAUGUAUUUUGGAUGCUUAUAUAACAUGGAUAACACCAUAUGGAAGGUUGCAGCACUGCUGAACUCUGAAUCUUAACAGCCAACCACAGGAUACAAAUCUGAUAAUCAAUUCCCAUGCCAGUACUCUGGAGUAAAACAGGUUUCAGCAUCAACGGAGGAAAGGACUAUUUCUUUGGGGGAACAAUCUGGUAAGUACUUUCAAUGCAGGAGGUUCACACCCUGAUGACAAUCAUUGUGAAGCAGCAAGGAAAGCGACCUUGUAUCCAUGGAACUGCAUUGCAGCAAAACUCAGGAACAUCUGACAGGGAGACAGUAGGUGAAGAAAAUUUGGAUGAGUAAAGGUUGAAGAUUCUAACUAUGGAGAAUGACCAGACAAGUAGUUAAUACAUGGAGUGCUGGAGACAGAGGAACACUCAAGACCUGAGCUGAGUGACAUCUCAGCACUGUGUUGGGCGUACAUAAAUGAGUGAGCUAUUGACACCUGGAUGGUAUUCCCAAAUGGAAUAGUGGCAGUGAGAACCCCAAAAGCAAGAAACAUGGGAUAACGAAGGGACUGCAACAUCUUUCUGGAUCGAUGGACCGGGACAGAGCAAUUGUCUUUCCUCAGCUAUUCCACAAACUCAGCUUGCUCGAACGAUUCCAGGGUGAUGGCUGUUGCUACUGGGGACAAAGCAGCUGAAGGAUCUGAAGCACAUCUCCAGAAAACACUGGGAACCUGUUCGCCAGAGCUCCAUGAAACCUCAAAACUUCAAUUGCUGGGAGAAAUUUGUUUGUUCAACCAUGAUAAAUGCUGAUGUGUCAACGAUGGAUUAAUCUCAGAAUGGAUGCAUUGUUUGAUUGGUUGGCAUAUUGAAUAUAUGUCAGUCGUCUGGGGGGAAAUAGAAUGGGGCCGCUGAUGGAUAUCAUUUAUUGGAAUGGAUACCUUUCCAGGAUACAUGUUGUUUCACACUACCAUGAAGACCACAAUGGUCAUUGUUGCAAUGCAUUUGAUGGCUGAAUCCUUACAACUAACAACUGGAGUCAACGCAUUCUCAGGAUGGAUUCAGUUCCUGUACUGCAGGGGGAAGAGGCAUUGAUAACGAUCAAGAAAAAGAGUUAGUUUCUCUGCAGGAGGUUUUUCCUUAUUUAUUAUUUUCCUUAUUUAUUUUUUCCUUGUUUAUUUUCUUCAGGUGGGAUGUUCCUUCCAUCAGACAGAGCCACUUGAUCUUCUGCAAGAACAGCAGCUGAAAGCUAAAAUGAAGAGUGAUCCGGUGAUUCGAGCUAACAUUCUGUCCAGUUGCAGAGGAGGUCUCUUCACUUCUAGCUGUACCUAUUCCUGACCAUACCUAAAAUUUAUUUAUUCAUUGAUCCAGGCCCUUCCAGUCCUUCUGGUCCAACAAGCCAUGCCAUCCAGUAACACACCUAUUUAACACUAGUUCAAUUUACAUUGACUAAUUAACCUACUACCUGGUACAUUUUUGGAAUGUGGGAGGAAACCAGAGCACCCGGAGGCAACCCAUGCGGUCACGGGGAGAAUGUACAACCUUCUCACAGGCAGCGCUGGAAUUGAACUCCGAAUUCCGAUGCCCCUAGCUGUAAUAGCGUUGCGCUAAUCUCUACACUACCGCGGCACCCUAUAUUAAGACAAUGCAGAAAGACCACUUAUAGGGCUGCUGCCUCAGGUAUGGCCGAAAGCAGCUCAUGUUACCUAUCAAGAUAUUGAACUUGUCUCUUUCUCUUGUUGCAGGCCGAUGGCUCUUGAGAAUGAAGACAAGGCAACUGCAACACUUCUCCGGAGAACAUGGGAAAUCUGUUCACCAGUGCUUCUUCCAACUUCACUACUGCAAUUGUGGGGAGAGAUGGUGAGAUUUACUUUUGAUGAAAUGUUAUCAAGCUGAACAUUAACUUUGUUUCCUAUCUCCACAGAUGCUACCUGGCCUGCUGUAUAUUUCCAGCAUCUUCUGUUUCACUACCCAAGAUUUAUUCGUCUGUGAAUGACAACUACGGGCUCAUCAACAGAGAGAAAUCGUGUUGUUUGGAUGCAAUGUUUGAAACAAGAUUAUGUGUGCAUGUUAAUUUGGUUAAAAUGUCAGACUAUCAGUCGUCUGGGGGGAAUAAUAGAAAGGGGCCAUUGAUGGAUAUCGUUAUUGGGUUGGAUACCCUUCUGGAAAACGUAUUGUGGAUAAUUUUACACUGCGGAAAAGACCACAGCAGAGCAACAUGUUUGACCUUGGAAACUUAACAGCCAACAGCAGGAGACAACUGCAUUUGGUGCCAUUGCUUGAAGGCCAGAGGGAUUCGUGAACAGGCUUCAGUGUUAAUGGAGAAAAGCGUAUUUUUUUCUCAUCUGAACAUAAAGGCAUCUUUUUGUUAAAAUGAAAAAAAGAUGGUUGACGCCCACCAAACAGCUGGAAGGACCCCAGUAGUUCUUCAAAGAACAUCAGGAUCCUGUUCCUGAGACCUCUUGGAAACCUUCUGUUUGCAUUCUACUAGAAAAAUAGUGAAAUUUACUUCUUCAGUGUGGUUAAAAUGAUGAAUGUUUGUGAAUCAUCUGGGGGGUAAAAGAAAGGGGCCACUGCUGGAUCUAUUUUUGUGAUGGAUACCUUUCUGGGAUACAAAUAUUGGAAAAAUUUCUUCUGGCAACGGGAGUGAAGCAAUUAGUUCUUGAAAAUUUAACGACCAGCAUCAGGAAGCAGCUUGCAUCACAUGCUCUCAGGAUGGAUUUAGUGCCAGAAUUCUCUCAGAAGAAUUGCAGUCAACAAGCUUCAGUGCCAGUGGAGAAAAGAAAUCAGAUUCUCUUGAUCUGUAAAAUGAUCAUUUUGUGGGACCGUUUAAGAAAGAUCAUUGGGAACUCAUCGCAUUUAUCAACUUAAAGUGGCACCAUCGAAUUGAGACAAGAUAGGUACCUUUUCUUCAACUGGUGGGUGAGAAGACAUUGAUUUAUUUUUACCUUGCAAUUUCUGUUAGAAUCUCCAUUCCUUGCUCUAUUUCCUGCCAUUAAAGAGAAUUACCUGCCUCAAAUGUAAAAGUUUUGCACUGAUUGCCUUUCGCAACCGUUCAUUGUAUUAGGAACAGAAUUCUAAUCUGCACAAGUCCCAUUUGUUUUGCAGGAUUCUGAAUGUGGAGAAUGACCAGACAUGGAGUGCCGGAGAGAAAGGAGUACACAAGACCUGAGCUGAGUGACUUCUCAGCAAUGUUUCUUUUUAUUUUCAUUUUUUCCCUUUUUUUAUUAUUUGGUAAUUCCAUAUACAACAUGAUCUUAAGCCUUCAAAACAAGUCUAGAAUCUAUACAGACUAGAAUUAUCUAGUCAACAUUUCAGUCAAAAUUUUUAAGUGGCUUAUACAGUUCAUUUUUGUGUGUCUCAAGUUUUCAAACCAUCAUUCCAAAUCCCUUGCCAUCUCUGGCUCUGUCUUCACUAUGAUGUAACAUCUGUGUCUUCCAGCCUUAACAAAUGCUUCUCCUGCUCCAGGUGAUCUCAGAUCAGUUCCUGCUUGGAGUUGUUCUGCAAGCUUUCUGCUUGUAUUUAUUUUUGGUGGAAGUGACCUCUGAAGGAGUUUUCUGCCAUCCCUUCCCCAUUUUUGCCUCUGACCUAAUCCUUCCUAUCCAAUUCUUCCUCUAAAUAGCUUUGACCAACUUUCUGGUUCAUAUGAACCCCACAUUAUUCUCCAUAACUUCCCUCAUCUUUCCCUACCCCCCACCCCACUCUCCGCUUUCUGCACAAUCUCCAUGACUCCUUUGUCCACUCGUCUUUCCACACUGAUCUCCCUACUGGCACUUAUCCCUGCAAGCAGGACAAGUGCUACACCUGCACCUUCAUUUCCUCCCUCUACCUUCUCUCUCACCACCAUUCAGGACCCAAACGGUCUUUCCAGGUAAGGCAACGCUCAAUUUGCAAGUCUAUCGGAAUUAUCUACAGUAUCUGGUGCACCUGCUGAAGCCUCCUCUACAUUGGUGAGACCCAUUGUAAAUUGGGGAACCGUUUUGUUGAGUACCUUUGCUCUAUCUGUAACAGGUGGCAUUUUCUUGUAGUCAUCCACCUUAAUUCUACAUCUCAUUUCAAUUCUGACAUGUCAGUCCUUGGCCUCCUCUGCGGUCAUGAUGUAGCCAUUCUCAGGUUGGAGGAGCAAUACCUCAUAUUCCAUUUGGGUAGCCUCCAACCUGAUGGGAUGAAAAUCAAUUUCUCUAAAGGUAGUUUCCCCCCACCCCCUUUCUCUUUAUCCAUUCCCCAUCUGGCUCCCCUCUUACCCCUUCUCUUUUCAUCUGUCUAUCACCUCCCUCUGAUGCCCGUCCUUCUUCCUUUUCUCCCAUAGCCCACACCUUUCUCCUAUCGGAUUUCUUAUUCUUCAGCCUUUUACCUUUUCCUUCUAGCACCUCCUAGCUUCUCACUUCAUUCCCCUCCCCCUCAACUGGCUUCGCCUAUCAUCUGCCAGCUUGUACUCAUUCUCCUCCCCUCACCUUCUUAUUCUGGAUUUUUCCCCUUCCUUUCUAGUCCUGAUGAAAUGUCUCAGUCCAAAACAUUGCCUGUUUAUUCCUCUCCAUAGAUACUACCUGAUCUGCUGAGUUCCAUUCAUGUUUUGUAUUUGUCACUCUGUAUUUCAGCAUCUGCAGAAUCUCUUGUGUUUAUUAUCUAGAUCAGGCCUCAAAGAGAUAUUGUGUCGGGCUCUGGUGAACCACUUUGCAACCCCAUUGACCAGUGCUGGGCCUAACUGGUCUAAGUUCUCUCAAAUCUGCGACCUCCAGACAUAUGGAAACAGCGCCACCUGCUGGUUACACCGCAAACCACACUCCAUGUGAACUUGGAAAUGUUAUCACCGUUCUUCAUCAUCGUUUUGUGGAGAUACUGGAACAGUUUGUUAGAAGGAAUUUUCUCAAGCUUAAGAAUUUGGCAAUAAGUUUGGUAGUUCUCUGAAAACACCUGGCAUCUUCCACCCUGAUUCUGAUGUUCGGAUGACCCUCAUUGCAACGGUGCUCAGCUGUAGCGGCGAGACUUCAGGAAUGCAGAGAGUUAUGUUUUCCCGUCAGAGUCCAGUCCUUUGGGUAAUGUUUUCUUUGGAAAUUGUCUGGCAGUUUGACCUCCAUGAGAUGAAGUCAUCAUUCUCCUUAGAAAUGUGGCAUUGACCUUCAAGAAAUUUGAAUGGUGAUGCACAGCCAUCUGAUCGUUCAGCAAGUGUAAACCUUUCCUGUUACUGAAAAGACACAGGUAAUUGAAGUGAGCACCUGUUGGCCAUAUAUGCAGUUCCUGCUGCCUUCACUUGUGGAAAAACCCAUUGGCACCUGAAAUGAAGAUAGGUGAAACUGUCCGUCCAUACCGGCUGAUGUCUCUGGUGGAAAGAAAUUGGGUGACGUGGCAGAGAUCAGGUGCAACCCUUCGGGAAGAUCUGGUGGUGAGUAAGCUGAUUGUCAAUGCAACCUUGACCUUCAUGGAGUGGCAAAGGCACGUGAGCAUGACAAGAGAUUUGCUGGUGAUUCCACUGUGUUCAAUUCCAUAUGCAACUCUUCAGCAAAUGAAUGUAUGCAUGGGCUGAUAAGCAUGAGUUUGCAUGGAGCCAUUGGAGAGUCAAUUGUGGGAGUGAGCUGAGCCAGUUGUGACAUUCUGCAUGCCUGACAUCAUGAAGAGCUAGUGGUGAAUCACUUUUGGGGGCAAGAUUGGAAAAAGUGAGCAGGGCCAGUCAGGAUAUUCUGCAUGCCGGAGAUUCCUCAGAGCCUUUAGCCAGUCCAUUGUGGGAGCAAGAUUGGAAAAAACAAUUCGGGGACAUUCGGGACAUCCUUGCAUGCCGGAGAUUGCUCAGAUCCAUUAGCAAGUCAAUUGUGGGAACAAGAUUGGAAAAAGUGAGUGGAGCCAGUCAAGACAUUCUGCAUGCCGGAGAUCAUGGAGUGAUUAUGCACUUGACAAGGCCCAAUAAAAGGAAGUCAGGUGUAAGUGAAGAGGUUUCUGUGGGAGUGACCAUUGUGUGAAUUCGCCAGUGUUAGAGUGGAAGAUUUGAGGCUUAGCUUAAAGAGGCGAAGGGUAGAGUAAGUUUCUGGUAAGUUUUUUCUUCUUUCUUUGUUAAUGCCCAAUUCAUGCAGUGACAGUGAUGGUCCAGGGUCAGCAAUGGGUACUUCAUGUUGGAUGUGGGAAUUCUGGGUGAGCUGUGUUCUUCCUGAAAAAUACAAUUAGGUGAAGUACAUCCAGCUGCAGCUCCUUACAGACCGUAUUAGGGAAAUAUGGCUGCAGUUUGGUGACCUACAGCAUCUGCAGAUUUUCUCUUCUUUGAGAAUUGACAAAUGAAUGCAUGGCUGAGGAACUGUGUAGGGAUCAGAGUUUCAUAUUUUUGGAAGAUUGGUAUCUCUUCUGGGGAGGAUAUGGCCUAUGCAAAAAGGACAAGUUACACCUGAACAUGAGAGGGACUAAAUACCACUACAGGGAGGUUUGCUGGAGCUGUUGGUGAGGAUUUAAACUAGUUUGGCAGAGGGAUGGAUGCCAGAGGAUGGGGCAGUUGGUGUGCAGGUAGAUGCAACAUGUAGAGAGACUGAGAAAGACAGGCAUUCUAUGGGGUAAAAUUACAAUAUAUGGGAUUGGGUGAAGUGUGUCUAUUUUAAUGCUAUCAGCAACAAGGGUAAAGAACUUAGAGCAUGGAUCAGUACAUGGAACUAUGAUGUUUUGGCCAUUAUGGACAUAUGCCUGUCACAAGGGCAGGAGUGGCUGCUGAAUGUUCCAUCCCAAUAGCAACAGAGACACUGAGGAACAGAUAGGGAGCCAGGUUUAAGAAAGGUGCAAAAAUUAACAGGGUUGUUGUCAUGGAGGACUUCAACUUCCCUCAUAUUGAUUGGCACCUCUUUAUUGUAAAAGGUUAAGUGGGGCAAAAUGUGUUAGGUGUGUCCAGGAAGCAUUGGUGACAGGCUGAGGAGAGGAGAUGCCAUACUAUAUCUGGUGCUAGGCAGAGUGUUGGGUCUCUUGAAGUGUAUUAAGGAGGUUAGUUUCCUGGGCUUGAUGGUAUAUAAGCAGGUUAUUGAGGGAGGAAAGAGAUGACAUUACUGUGGUCUUGACCAAUAUCCUCCUGUCCUCUCUAGCAACUGGUGAGUUCCUGGAGGACUGGCAAGUAGCUAAUGUUGUUCCAUUAUUCAAGAUGAGAACCAGGGAUAAUCCUGGAAAUUAUAGACCAGUAAGUCUCAUGUCAGUGGUAGGGAAGUUAUGAGAGAGAAUACAUAGGGAUAGGAUUUAUGUGCAUUUUGAAAUCCCUGGCCCAAUUAGGGACAGCUAGCAUGGCUCUGUGCAGGGCAUGUUGUGUCCUACUAACUUAAUAGAUUUUUUGUCGAGGUGAUUAGGGUGGUUGAUGAAGGUAGAGGUGAGGAUAUUAUCGACAUGGAUUUUAUUAAGCUGUUUGACAACGUCCCUCAUGGGAGGCUGAAGCAGAAGUUUAAGAUGCAUGGGAUUGAUGGUGAAUUGGCUGUUUGGAUUCAGAACUGGCUUGCCUAUUGACAAGAGAGGGUAGUGGUCAAAGGGACAUUCUCGCUGGAGGUCUGUGAUUAGAGGUGUUCCUCAGGGAUCAGAACUGGGACCUCUAUUUUUUGUGCUGUACUGUAGGUAAAUGACAAGAAUGAAAAUGGAGAUGGGAGGGAUAGUAGGUUUGAAAUGUCUAAUAGCAGAGGGCAUGAAUUUAAAGUGAGAGGAGUUGAGUUCAAAGGAGUUUCAAAGGGUAAGGUUUUUACCUAGAGAGUGGGUGUGCCUGGAGUGGUGUUAGAGGCAGAUACAUGACUAAUUUUUAAGUGAAGUUUAAAUAAGCACAUGAAGGUGAGGGAAAUGGAAGGAUUGUAUAGGCAGAGGAGAUUAGUUCAGUUGGUCAUUUGAAUACUAAUUUAAUUGGUUUGGCACAACAUUGUGGGCUGAAAGGUCUGUUCCUCUGCUGUACUGUUCUAUGAUCUAUGUUCUAUGUUCCAAGUGCAGUUUGACCAGUGCCUUUUAAAGCUUCAGCAUUACAUCCUUGCUUUCAUAUUCCAUUCCUCUCAAAAUGAAUGCUAGAACUAAUUUGCCUUCCUUUCCACAGACUCAACCUGCAAGUUAACCUUUAGGAAUCCUGCAUGAGGACUUCCAAGUCCCUUUGCACUUCUGAUUUCUGAAUUUGCUCCCUGUUCAGAAAAUAGUCUAUGCCUUUACUCUUUCUACCAGAGUUUCUACCUAUACUUCCCUACACUAUGUUCCAUGUGCCAUUUCUUUGUCCACUCUCCAAAUUCUUCUCCAGAUUCCCUUGUUCCUGAAUCUGAAUGUUACCGGUCUUUCCACCAAGCUUUGCAUUACCUGCAAACUUGACCACAAAACCAUCAAUCCCUUUAUCCAAGUCACUGGCACAUGAGGUGAAAAGAAGCAGUCCUAAUACUGACAUGUACGGAACACCACGUCACUGGCAGCCAACCAGGAAAGUCCCCACUUCUUGUUCUGACACUGGAUACACUCUGUCAUUGGCUCAGUUGGGCGGCAUAUACUGAACAAAUGAGGCAGCCCUCACACCUGCUGGAUGUCUACUGUAGGAUGCUACUGGACUGACACUGGCUCUGGAAUCACUUUUGCAGAAAACACCUGGCAUCUUCCACCCUGAUUCUGAUGUUCGGAUGACCCUCAUUGCAACGGUGCUCAGCUGUAGCGGCGAGACUCCAGGAAUGCAGAGAGUUAUGUUUUCCUGUCAGAGUCCAGUCCUUUGGGUAAUGUUUUCUUUGGAAAUUGUCUGGCAGUUUGACCUCCAUGAGAUGAAGUCAUCAUUCUCCUUAGAAAUGUGGCAUUGACCUUCAAGAAAUUUGAAUGGUGAUGCACAGCCAUCUGAUCGUUCAGCAAGUGUAAACCUUUCCUGUUACUGAAAAGACACAGGUAAUUGAAGUGAGCACCUGUUGACCAUAUAUGCAGUUCCUGCUGCCUUCACUUGUGGAAAAACCCAUUGGCACCUGAAAUGAAGAUAGGUGAAACUGUCCGUCCAUACCGGCUGAUGUCACUGGUGGAAAGAAGUUGGGUGACGUGGCAGAGAUCAGGUGCAACCCUUCGGGAAGAUCUGGUGGUGAGUAAGCUGAUUGUCAAUGCAACCUUGACCUUCAUGGAGUGGCAAAGGCACGUGAGCAUGACAAGAGAUUUGCUGGUGAUUCCACUGUGUUCAAUUCCAUAUACAACUCUUCAGCAAAUGAAUGUAUGCAGGGGCUGACAAGCAUGGGAUCACAAGGAGCUAUUGACAAGUCAAUUGUGGGAACAAGAUUGGAAAAAGCAAGAGCGACCAGUCAAGACAUCCUGCAUGCCGGAGAUUACACAGAUCCAUUCUCAAGUUAAUUGUGAGAGCAAGAUUGGAAAAAUGAUCGGGGCCAGUCGGGACAUCCCGCAUGCCGGAGGUUGCAUAGAUCCAUUUGUAAGUCAAUUGUGGGAGCAAGAUUGGAAAAACGAACGGGGCCAGUCGGGAUAUCCUGCAUGCCGGAGAUUGUACAGAUCCAUUAGCAUGUCAAUUGUGGGUGCAAGAUUGGGAAAAGUGAGUGGGACCAUUCGGGACAUCCUGCAUGCUGGAGAUGGCUCAGACCAUUCAUAAGUCAAUUGUGGGAGCAAAAUUGGAAAAAGUGAGUGGGGCCAGUCGGGACAUCCUGCAUGCCGGAGAUUGCACAGAUCCAUUCGUAAGUUAAUUAUGGGAGCAAGAUUGGAAAAAUGAACGGGGCCAGUCGGGACAUCCUGCAUGCCGGAGAUUGCUGGGAGCUAUUCACAAGUCAAUUGUGGGAGCAAGAUUGGAAAAAGUGAGUGGGGCCAGUCAGGACAUCCUGCAUGCCGGAGAUUACACAGAUCUAUUCGUAAGUUAAUUAUGGGAGCAAGAUUGGAAAAAUGAACGGGGCCAGUCGGGACAUCCUGCAUGCCGGAGUUUGCUGGGAGCUGUUCACAAGUCAACUGUGGGAGCAAUAUUGGAAAAAGUGAGUGGGGCUAGUCGGGACAUCCUGCAUGACUGAGAUUGCACAGAUCCGUUUGUGAGUUAAUUAUGGGAGCAAGAUUGGAAAAACGAACGGGGCCAGUCGGGACAACCUGCAUGACUGAGAUUGCUGGGAGCUAUUCACAAGUCAAUUGUGGGAGCAAGAUUGGAAAAAGGAACGGGGCCAGUCGAGACAUCCUGCAUGCCGGAGAUUGCUGGGAGCUAUUCACAAGUCAAUUGUGGGAGCAAGAUUGGAAAAAGUGAGUGGGGCUAGUCGGGACAUCCUGCAUGCUGGAGAUUGCACAGAUCCAUUCGUAAGUCAAUUGUGGGAGCAAGAUUGGAAAAAGUGAGUGGGGCCAGUCGGGACAUCCUGCAUGCCGGAGAUUGCAAAGAUCCAUUCGUAAGUUAAUUGUGAGAGCAAGAUUAGAAAAAUGAACGGGGCCAGUCGGGACAUCCUGCAUGACUGAGAUUGCACAGAUCCAUUCGUAAGUUAACUGUGGGAACAAGAUUGGAAAAACGAACGGGGACAGUCGGGACAUCCUGCAUGCCGGAGAUUGCUGGGAGCUAUUCAUAAGUCAAUUGUGGGAGCAAGAUUGGAAAAACGAACGGGGCCAGUCGAGACAUCCUGCAUGCCGGAGAUUGCUGGGAGCUAUUCACAAGUCAAUUGUGGGAGCAAGAUUGGAAAAAGUGAGUGGGGCCAGUCGGGACAUCCUGCAUGCCGGAGAUUGCACAGAUCCAUUCGUAAGUCAAUUGUGGGAGCAAGAUUGGAAAAAGUGAGUGGGGCCAGUCGGGACAUCCUGCAUGCCGGAGAUUGCAAAGAUCCAUUCGUAAGUUAAUUGUGAGAGCAUGAUUAGAAAAAUGAACGGGGCCAGUCGGGACAUCCUGCAUGACUGAGAUUGCACAGAUCCAUUCGUAAGUUAAUUGUGGGAGCAAGAUCGGAAAAAGUGAGUGGGACCAUUCGGGACAUCCUGCAUGACUGAGAUUGCACAGAUCCAUUCGUAAGUUAAUUGUGGGAGCAAGAUUGGAAAAAGUGAGUGGGGCCAGUCGGGACAUCUUGCAUGCUGGAGGUUGCACAGAUCCAUUAGCAUGUCAAUUGUGGGAGCAAGAUUGGAAAAAGUGAGUGGGGACAGUCGGGACAGCCUGCAUGCCGGAGAUUGCACAGAUCCAUUCGUAACUCAAUUGUGGGAGCAAGAUUGGGAAAAGUGAGUGGGACCAUUCGGGACAUCCUGCAUGCCGGAGAUUGCACAGAUCCAUUCAUUAGUCAAUUGUGGGAGCAAGAUUGGAAAAAGUGAGUGGGGCCAGUCGGGACAUCCUGCAUGCCGGAGAUUGCACAGAUCCAUUCGUGAGUUAAUUAUGGGAGCAAGACUGGAAAAACGAUCAGGGACAGUCGGGACAUCCUGCAUGCCAGAGAUUGCUGGGAGCUAUUCACAAGUCAAUUGUGGGAGCAAGAUUGGAAAAAGUGAGUGGGUCUAGUCGGGACAUCCUGCAUGCUGGAGAUUGCACAGAUCCAUUUAUGAGUUAAUUAUGGGAGCAAGAUUGGAAAAAGUGAGUGGGGCCAGUCGGGACAUCCUGCAUGACUGAGAUUGCACAGAUCCAUUAGCAAGUUAAUUGUGGGAGCAAGAUUGGAAAAACGAUCGGGGCCAGUUUGGACAUCCUGCAUGCCGGAGAUUGUACAGAUCCAUUAGCAUGUCAAUUGUGGGUGCAAGAUUGGGAAAAGUGAGUGGGACCAUUUGGGACAUCCUGCAUGCCGGAGAUUGCACAGAUCCAUUUGUGAGUUAAUUAUGGGAGCAAGAUUGGAAAAACGAAAGGGGCCAGUCGGGACAUCCUGCAUGCCGGAGAUUGCUGGGUGCUAUUCACAAGUCAAUUGUGGGAGCAAUAUUGGAAAAAGUGAGUGGGGCCAGUCGGGACAUCCUGCAUGACUGAGAUUGCACAGAUCCAUUAGCAAGUUAAUUGUGGGAGCAAGAUUGGAAAAAGUGAAUGGGGCCAGUCGGGACAUCCUGCAUGCCGGAGAUUGCACAGAUCCAUUUGUGAGUUAAUUAUGGGAGCAAGAUUGGAAAAACGAUCAGGGACAGUUGGGACAUCCUGCAUGCCAGAGAUUGCUGGGAGCUAUUCACAAGUCAAUUGUGGGAGCAAGUUAGGAAAAAGCGAGUGGGGCCAGUCGGGACAUCCUGCAUGCCGGAGAUUGCACAGAUCCAUUCGUAAGUCAAUUGUGGGAGCAAAAUUGGAAAAAGUGCGUGGGGCCAGUCAGGACAUUCUGCAUGCCGGAGAUUGCACAGAUCUAUUCGUAAGUUAAUUAUGGGAGCAAGAUUGGAAAAAUGAACGUGGCCAGUCGGGACAUCCUGCAUGCCGGAGAUUGCUGGGAGCUGUUCACAAGUCAACUGUGGGAGCAAGAUUGGAAAAAGUGAAUGGGGCCAGUCGGGACAUCCUGCAUGACUGAGAUUGCACAGAUCCAUUAGCAAGUUAAUUGUGGGAGCAAGAUUGGAAAAACGAACGGGGACAGUCGGGAUAUCCUGCAUGCCGGAGAUUGCUGGGAGCUAUUCACAAGUCAAUUGUGGGAGCAAUAUUGGAAAAAGUGAGUGCGGCCAGUCGGGACAUCCUGCAUGCCGGAGAUUGCACAGAUCCAUUUGUAAGUCAAUUGUGGGAGCAAGUUAGGAAAAAGCGAGUGGGGCCAGUCGGGACAUCCUGCAUGCUGGAGAUUGCACAGAUCCAUUCGUAAGUCAAUUAUGGGAGCAAGAUUGGAAAAAUGAACGGGGCCAGUCGGGACAACCUGCAUGACUGAGAUUGCACAGAUCCAUUCGUGAGUUAAUUAUGGGAGCAAGAUUGGAAAAAUGAAAGUGGCCAGUCGGGACAUCCUGCAUGCCGGAGAUUGCUGGGAGCUGUUCACAAGUCAACUGUGGGAGCAAUAUUGGAAAAAGUGAGUGGGGCCAGUCGGGACAUCCUGCAUGACUGAGAUUGCACAGAUCCAUUAGCAAGUUAAUUGUGGGAGCAAGAUUGGAAAAACGAACGGGGACAGUCGGGACAUCCUGCAUGCCGGAGAUUGCCGGGAGCUAUUCACAAGUCAAUUGUGGGAGCAAUAUUGGAAAAAGUGAGUGCGGCCAGUUGGGACAUCCUGCAUGCUGGAGAUUGCACAGAUCCAUUCGUAAGUCAAUUGUGGGAGCAAGAUUGGAAAAAGUGAAUGGGGCCAGUCGGGACAUCCUGCAUGCCGGAGAUUGCACAGGUCCAUUAGCAAGUUAAUUGUGGGAGCAAGAUUGGAAAAAGGAACGAGGCCAGUUGGGACAUCCUGCAUGCCGGAGAUUGCACAGAUCCAUUUGUGAGUUAAUUAUGGGAGCAAGAUUGGAAAAACAAUCCGGGACAGUUGGGACAUCCUGCAUGCCAGAGAUUGCUGGGAGCUAUUGACAAGUCAAUUGUGGGAGCAAGAUUGGAAAAAGUGAGUGGGGCCAGUCAGGACAUCCUGCAUGCCGGAGAUUGCUGGGAGCUGUUCACAAGUCAACUGUGGGAGCAAGAUUGGAAAAAGUGAAUGGGGCCAGUCGGGACAUCCUGCAUGACUGAGAUUGCACAGAUCCAUUAGCAAGUUAAUUGUGGGAGCAAGAUUGGAAAAACGAACGGGGACAGUCGGGAUAUCCUGCAUGCCGGAGAUUGCUGGGAGCUAUUCACAAGUCAAUUGUGGGAGCAAUAUUGGAAAAAGUGAGUGCGGCCAGUCGGGACAUCCUGCAUGCCGGAGAUUGCACAGAUCCAUUUGUAAGUCAAUUGUGGGAGCAAGUUAGGAAAAAGCGAGUGGGGCCAGUCGGGACAUCCUGCAUGCUGGAGAUUGCACAGAUCCAUUCGUAAGUCAAUUAUGGGAGCAAGAUUGGAAAAAUGAACGGGGCCAGUCGGGACAACCUGCAUGACUGAGAUUGCACAGAUCCAUUCGUGAGUUAAUUAUGGGAGCAAGAUUGGAAAAAUGAAAGUGGCCAGUCGGGACAUCCUGCAUGCCGGAGAUUGCUGGGAGCUGUUCACAAGUCAACUGUGGGAGCAAUAUUGGAAAAAGUGAGUGGGGCCAGUCGGGACAUCCUGCAUGACUGAGAUUGCACAGAUCCAUUAGCAAGUUAAUUGUGGGAGCAAGAUUGGAAAAACGAACGGGGACAGUCGGGACAUCCUGCAUGCCGGAGAUUGCCGGGAGCUAUUCACAAGUCAAUUGUGGGAGCAAUAUUGGAAAAAGUGAGUGCGGCCAGUUGGGACAUCCUGCAUGCUGGAGAUUGCACAGAUCCAUUCGUAAGUCAAUUGUGGGAGCAAGAUUGGAAAAAGUGAAUGGGGCCAGUCGGGACAUCCUGCAUGCCGGAGAUUGCACAGGUCCAUUAGCAAGUUAAUUGUGGGAGCAAGAUUGGAAAAAGGAACGAGGCCAGUUGGGACAUCCUGCAUGCCGGAGAUUGCACAGAUCCAUUUGUGAGUUAAUUAUGGGAGCAAGAUUGGAAAAACAAUCCGGGACAGUUGGGACAUCCUGCAUGCCAGAGAUUGCUGGGAGCUAUUGACAAGUCAAUUGUGGGAGCAAGAUUGGAAAAAGUGAGUGGGGCCAGUCAGGACAUCCUGCAUGCCGGAGAUUGCACAGAUCCAUUCGUAAGUCAAUUGUGGGAGCAAGAUCGGAAAAAGUGAGUGGGGCCAGUCGGGACAUCCUGCAUGCCGGAGAUUGCACAGAUCCAUUCGUAAGUCAAUUGUGGGAGCAAGAUUGGAAAAAGGAACGAGGCCAGUUGGGACAUCCUGCAUGCUGGAGAUUGCACAGAUCCAUUAGCAUGUCAAUUAUGGGACCAAGGUUGGAAAAAUGAACGGGGACAGUCGGAACAUCCUGCAUGACUGAGAUUGCACAGAUCCAUUCGUGAGUUAAUUAUGGGAGCAAGAUUGGAAAAACGAAAGGGGCCAGUCUGGACAUCCUGCAUGCCGGAGAUUGCUGGGAGCUGUUCACAAGUCAACUGUGGGAGCAAUAUUGGAAAAAGUGAGUGGGGCCAGUCGGGACAUUCUGCAUGACUGAGAUUGCACAGAUCCAUUAGCAAGUUAAUUGUGGGAGCAAGAUUGGAAAAACCAACGAGGCCAGUCGGGACAUCCUGCAUGCCGGAGAUUGCACAGAUCCAUUCGUAAGUUAAUUAUGGGAGCAAGAUUGGUACAACGAAUGGGGACAGUCGGGACAUCCUGCAUGCCGGAGAUUGCUGGGAGCUAUUCACAAGUCAAUUGUGGGAGCAAGAUUGGAAAAAGUGAGUGGGGCCAGUCGGGACAUCCUGCAUGCCGGAGAUUGCACAGAUCCAUUCGUAAGUUAAUUAUGGGAGCAAGAUUGGUACAACGAAUGGGGACAGUCGGGACAUCCUGCAUGCCGGAGAUUGCACAGAUCUAUUCGUAAGUUAAUUAUGGGAGCAAGAUUGGAAAAAUGAACAGGGCCAGUCGGGACAUCCUGCAUGCCGGAGAUUGCUGGGAGCUGUUCACAAGUCAACUGUGGGAGCAAUAUUGGAAAAAGUGAGUGGGGCCAGUCGGGACAUCCUGCAUGACUGAGAUUGCACAGAUCCAUUAGCAAGUUAAUUGUGGGAGCAAGAUUGGAAAAAGGAACGGGGCCAGUUGGGACAUCCUGCAUGACUGAGAUUGCACAGAUCCAUUCGUAAGUUAAUUGUGGGAACAAGAUUGGAAAAACGAACGGGGACAGUCGGAACAUCCUGCAUGCCGGAGAUUGCUGGGAGCUAUUCACAAGUCAAUUGUGGGAGCAAGAUUGGAAAAAGUGAGUCGGGACAGUCGGGACAUCCUGCAUGCUGGAGAUUGCACAGAUCCAUUCGUAAGUCAAUUGUGGGAGCAAGAUUGGAAAAAUGAACGGGGCCAGUCGGGACAUCCUGCAUGCUGGAGAUUGCUGGGAGCUGUUCACAAGUCAACUGUGGGAGCAAGAUUGGAAAAAGUGAGUGGGGCCAGUAGGGACAUCCUGCAUGACUGAGAUUGCACAGGUCCAUUAGCAAGUUAAUUGUGGGAGCAAGAUUGGAAAAAGGAACGAGGCCAGUUGGGACAUCCUGCAUGCUGGAGAUUGCACAGAUCCAUUAGCAUGUCAAUUAUGGGACCAAGGUUGGAAAAAUGAACGGGGACAGUCGGAACAUCCUGCAUGACUGAGAUUGCACAGAUCCAUUCGUGAGUUAAUUAUGGGAGCAAGAUUGGAAAAACGAAAGGGGCCAGUCUGGACAUCCUGCAUGCCGGAGAUUGCUGGGAGCUGUUCACAAGUCAACUGUGGGAGCAAUAUUGGAAAAAGUGAGUGGGGCCAGUCGGGACAUUCUGCAUGACUGAGAUUGCACAGAUCCAUUAGCAAGUUAAUUGUGGGAGCAAGUUUGGAAAAACGAACGAGGCCAGUCGGGACAUCCUGCAUGCCGGAGAUUGCACAGAUCCAUUCGUAAGUUAAUUAUGGGAGCAAGAUUGGUACAACGAAUGGGGACAGUCGGGACAUCCUGCAUGCCGGAGAUUGCUGGGAGCUAUUCACAAGUCAAUUGUGGGAGCAAGAUUGGAAAAAGUGAGUGGGGCCAGUCGGGACAUCCUGCAUGCCGGAGAUUGCACAGAUCCAUUCGUAAGUUAAUUAUGGGAGCAAGAUUGGUACAACGAAUGGGGACAGUCGGGACAUCCUGCAUGCCGGAGAUUGCUGGGAGCUGUUCACAAGUCAACUGUGGGAGCAAUAUUGGAAAAAGUGAGUGGGGCCAGUCGGGACAUCCUGCAUGACUGAGAUUGCACAGAUCCAUUAGCAAGUUAAUUGUGGGAGCAAGAUUGGAAAAAGGAACGGGGCCAGUUGGGACAUCCUGCAUGACUGAGAUUGCACAGAUCCAUUCGUAAGUUAAUUGUGGGAACAAGAUUGGAAAAACGAACGGGGACAGUCGGAACAUCCUGCAUGCCGGAGAUUGCUGGGAGCUAUUCACAAGUCAAUUGUGGGAGCAAGAUUGGAAAAAGUGAGUCGGGACAGUCGGGACAUCCUGCAUGCUGGAGAUUGCACAGAUCCAUUCGUAAGUCAAUUGUGGGAGCAAGAUUGGAAAAAGUGAGUGGGGCCAGUCGGGACAUCCUGCUUGCCGGAGAUCGCUGGGUGAUUAUUCACUUGAGAACGACCAAUACCAAGAAGUCAGACGGAGUGAAGUGGUCAUUGUAGGAAUGGCCAUGUGUGAGUGUACCAGUGCAAGAGUGGUGGAUUUGAGAGUUCAGCGAGAAGGGGCAAAGUGUGGGGUAAGUUUCUGGUAAGCUACUUUCUUUCUUUGUCCAUUAGUGACUAGCUGGUGUAGUGAGAAAGUGCGCAAUGGCAGUGAUGGUUUCUUUAUGUCAAAUCUUAGAAUUCUGGGUGAACUGCUGUCUUCCUGAGAACUACAAUUGCAUGUUGUACAUCCAGCUGCAGCUACUUACAAACCUUGUUAGAGGAAUGGAGCUGCAGUUGGAUGAGCUACAGCUCAUAUGGGAUAAUGAGUAGGAGGUAAUUAAGAUAAGCAGAGAGGUAGUUACCCCUUGUUGCAGGAGACAGAUUGCUGGGUGACUGUCAGGACUGGGAAAGGCAAUAGGCAGAUAGUGCAAAGUAACCCUCUGCUGUUCCCCUCAAUAACAAGUAUAGCACUUUGCAUACUGUUGGGGGGGGGGGGGUGGGGAGGCGAAUUGACCUAAUGGGGGAAAGCCGCACCAUCCAGGUCUCUGGAACUGAGUCUAGCUCUGUGGCUCUGAAGGGAAAUGGGUGAAGAUAAAUACAGUGUUCAGAGGGGAUUCUUACAAGAUUGAUUGAAGUUUUUGAUGAGAGGACGAGGGUGAUUGCUGAAGAUAGGCCUGUGGAUGUCAUCUACAUAGAUUUUAGUAAAGUGUUUAAUAACAUCACUCAUGGGAGGUUGAUGCAGAAGUUUAAGAUGCAUGGGAUUGAUGGUGAAUUGGCUGUUUGGAUUCAGAACUGUCUUGCCUAUUGAAAACAGAGGGUAGUGGUUGAAAGGACCAGUUCUAGCUGGAGGUCUGUGAUUAGUGAUGUUCUGUGGGGAUCAGUACUGGGACCUCUACUGUUUGUGAUGUACUGUACAUAAAUGACAAUUCUUAAAAUGUAGAAUGGUGGGCUAGUAAGUUUGAAGUGCCUUAUACCAGAGGGCAUGCUCUUAAGUAGAGUGGGGGUGAGUUCAGAGGAGAUGUGAGGGGUAAGGUUUUUACACAGAGCGUGAAGUCUGUCUGGGGUGGUGGUAGAGGCAGAUACACUAUGGAAUUUUUAAGAGAUAUUUAGAUAAGCACAUAAACGUGGGAGACUCAGAAAGAUAUAGACGUUGUGUUGGCAGAAGGGAUUAGUGUAGUUGGAUACUUGAUUACUAAUUUAAUUGGUCUGGUAGAACAUUUUGGGCUGAAAGGUCUGUUUCUGUGCUGUACUGUUCUACGUUUUAUGUUCCAUGUUCCAAGUGUGGUCUAACCUAUGCCUUAUAAAGCUUCAGCAUUACAUCCUUCCUUCUAUAUUUUAGUCCUCUUGAAAUAGACAAUAUGUGCAGGAGUAGGCCAUUCAGCCCUUCAAACCAGCACCGCCAUUCAAUGUGAUCAUGGCUGAUCAUCCACAAUCAGUACCCCGUUCCUGCCCUCUCCCCAUAUCCCUUGACCCCGCUAUCUAUAAGAGCUCUAUCUAACUCUUUCUUGAAAGCAUCCAGAGAAUUGGCCUCUACUGCCUUCUGAGGCAGAGCGUUCCACAGAUCCACAACUCUCUGGGUGAAAAAGCUUUUCCUCAACUCCGUUCUAAAUGGCCUACCCCUUAUUCUUAAACUGUGGCCUCUGGUUCUGGACUCACCCAUCAGUGGGAACAUGUUUCCUGCCUCCAGUGUGUCCAAUCCCUUAAUAAUCUUAUAUGUUUCAAUCAGAUCCCCUCUCAUCCUUCUAAAUUCCAGUGUAUACAAGCCAAGUCGCUCCAAUCUUUCAACAAAUGACAGUCACGCCAUUCCGGGAAUUAACCUUGUGAACCUGCACUCCCUCAAUAGCAAAAGUGAAUGCUAACACUGCAUUUGCCUUCCUCACCACCAACUCAACCUGCAAGUUAACCUUUAGGAAUCCUGCACGAGGACUUCCAAGUCCCUUUGCACUUCUGAUUUCUGAAUUUGCUCUCUGUUCAGAAAAUUGUCUACACCUUUACUCCUUCUACCAGAGUGCAUGACCCUAUACUUCCCUACAUUUAGUGCAUGUGCCACUUCUCUGCCCAUUCUCCUAAUCUGUCUAUGUUCUUCUGCAGACUUCUUGUUCCUGAACACUAUCUAUUCCUUCACUUAGCUUUGUAUUGCCUGCACACUUGGCCACAGAGCUAUCAAUUUCUUCAUCCAAAUCUUUGACAUAUGAUGUGAAAAGAAGCAAUUGAACACCGACCCCUGCGGAACUCCUUGUGUCACCUGCACUGGAUACACUCUGUCAUUGGCUCAGUUGUGCAGCAGACAGCAGCCAAUGAGGCAGCCCUCACACCUGCUGAAUGUCUACUGUAGGAUGCUACUGGACUGACACUGGCUCUGGAAUCACUUUUGCAGAAAACACCUGGCAUCUUCCACCCUGAUUCUGAUGUUCGGAUGACCCUCAUUGCAACGGUGCUCAGCUGUAGCGGCGAGACUCCAGGAAUGCAGAGAGUUAUGUUUUCCCGUCAGAGUCCAGUCCUUUGGGUAAUGUUUUCUUUGGAAAUUGUCUGGCAGUUUGACCUCCAUGAGAUGAAGUCAUCAUUCUCCUUAGAAAUGUGGCAUUGACCUUCAAGAAAUUUGAAUGGUGAUGCACAGCCAUCUGAUCGUUCAGCAAGUGUAAACCUUUCCUGUUACUGAAAAGACACAGGUAAUUGAAGUGAGCACCUGUUGACCAUAUAUGCAGUUCCUGCUGCCUUCACUUGUGGAAAAACCCAUUGGCACCUGAAAUGAAGAUAGGUGAAACUGUCCGUCCAUACCGGCUGAUGUCUCUGGUGGAAAGAAAUUGGGUGACGUGGCAGAGAUCAGGUGCAACCCUUCGGGAAGAUCUGGUGGUGAGUAAGCUGAUUGUCAAUGCAACCUUGACCUUCAUGGAGUGGCAAAGGCACGUGAGCAUGACAAGAGAUUUGCUGGUGAUUCCACUGUGUUCAAUUCCAUAUACAAUUCUUCAGCAAAUGAAUGUAUGCAGGGGCUGACAAGCAUGGGAUCACAAGGAGCUAUUGACAAGUCAAUUGUGGGAACAAGAUUGGAAAAAGCAAGAGCGACCAGUCGAGACAUUCUGCAUGCCGGAGGUUGCUAGGAUCCAUUCUCAAGUCAAUUGUGGGAGAAAAGGUUUGAAAAAGUGAGUGGUGCAAGACGAGAAAUUCUGUAUGACCGAGACUGCGGGGUGAUUAUGCACUUGACAAAGGCCAAUAACAAGAAGUCAGAUAUAAGCGAAGGGUCACUACGGAAAUGGCCAUUGUGUUACUGGGACAGUGUUACAGUGCAAGAUUUGUAGCUUGGCUCAAAGAGGUGAAGCGUAAGGUAAGUUUCUGGUAAGCUCCUUUCUUUCUUUGUCUAGCUAGCGUAGAGAGAAUGUGUCCAGUUUCAGUGGGUCCUCAUGUCAGAUGUGGGAAUUCUGGACGAAGAGUAGUCUCUCUGGAAACAGCAAUUGCAAGAAAUGCAUCCAACUGCAGCUCCUUACAGACUGUUUUAGGGAACUAGAGCUGCAUUUGGGUGACCUACAGCUCAUAUGGGAGAAUGAAGAGGAGAUAGUUAAGAACUACAGAGAGGUAUCACUCCUAAGUUGCAGGGGCAGGUAGCUGGGUGACUGUCAGGAGACGGAAAGGGAAUAGACAGAUAUUGUUAUGUAGAGUACCUGCGUGCUGUUCCCCUCAAUAAGAAGUAUACCCCUUUGGAUACUGUUGAUGGGGGAGGACGAGCUACCUUAUGGUGGCAUGUCACAGGGUUGAGGUUACUGAGCCAGAAGGGAAGUGGGGAGAAGAGGAGUACCACAUUCAGAGGGGAUUCUACACUUAGGCAAGCAGACAGGCGAUUAAAUGGAUGUGAAAGAGACACCCAGAUGGAAUUUUGUUUCCCAGUUGACAAGUGAUGUUUCAGAUCAGUCCACAGCAUUCUAUAGAUGGAGGGUGAGCGGACGGAAGUUGUGGCGCAUAUUGGUACCCACAACAUAUGGUAAGAAAAUGGAUGAAGUCCUGAAGAGGGAAUGUUUGGAUUUAGAAAGUAAGCUGAAAAGCAGGACCUCACGGGAAGUAAUCUCUUAAGUGCUGCAUGUGCUAUGGACCAGUAAGGGUAAGAAUAGGAUGAUUUGGCACACCAAUGCAUGGCUGAGGACCUGGUGCAGGGGACAGUGUGUCUAUUUUAAUACUAUCAGCAAAAAGGGUAAAGAACUUAAAGCAUGAAUCAGUACAAAGAAAUAUGACUUUCUGGCCACUACACAGACAGGCCUGUCACAAGGGCAGGUAAAGCUGGUGGAUGUUUUAGCAUUUAUAUAUUUCAAUAGGGAUAUGGAGGGAGGUGAAAGAGGUGUGGAAGUGUCAUUGUUAACCAAGGGUAGCAUCACAGCUGCAGAAAAAGAACGUAACAUGAAGGUGCUGUCUACCUAGUGUAGGUGGAAAUCAGAAGCAAGAAAGGAGCUAUUACUCUAUUGGAAUACUCAGUUGAACUCACCACCCCCACCCCAAUCCCCAUUUGUAACAGAGACACUGAGGAACAGAUCGGAAUGCAAUAUUUGAAAGGUGUAGAAAUACUAGGGAUAUUUUCAUGUGGUUCUUCAACUUUCCUAAUAUUCAUUGGUACCUCCUUAGUUGAAAGGUUUAGAUGGGGUGGAAUUUGUUAGGCGUGUCCAGGAAGUACUCUAUGUAGACAGACUGAUGAGUUAAAGACCACACUAUAUGCGGUGCUGGGCAGAGUGUUGGUUCUCUUGAAGAGCAUAAAGGUGGACAUGCCCCAGUCCCUGAUGGGAUAUACAACAGGUUAUGGAGGAGGAAAGAGAUGACAUUACCGGGGCCUUGACCAAUAUCUUCAUGUCCUCUCUUGCCACAGGAAAGGCCCUGGAGGACUGGUGAGUAGGUAAUUCUGUUCACUUUUUCAACAAGAGAAAAAUGGAUAAUCUUGGAAACUAUAGUGUGACGAGUCUUACAUCAGUGGUAAGGAUGGUACUGGAGAGUAUUCAUAGCAAUAGGGUUGAUGAGCAUUUGGAAAUCCAUGGCUGAGUUAGGAAAAGCCAGCAUGGCUUUGUGCUGGGCAAAUUGUGCCUUACCAACUUGAUAAGAGUUUUUUGACGAAGUGAGAAGGGCAAUUUAUGAAGGUAGAGGUGAGGAUGUUAUUUACAUGGAUUUUACUAAGGUGUUUGAUAGGGUCUCUCAUGGGAGGCUCAUGCAGACAUUUAAGAUGCAUGGGGUUGAUGGCAAAUUGGCUGUUCAGAUUCAGCGCCAGCUUGCCUAUUUAAAAUAGUGAGUAGUGGUUGAAGGACGUAUUCUAGCUGGAGAUGUGUGAUUAGUGGUGUUCCACAGGGAUCAGUACUCGGACUUCUACUGUUUGUGAUGUUCUGUAUAUAAAUGGGAAGGAAUGAAAAUGUAGAUGGGUGGGUUAGUAAGUUUGAAAUGUCUAAUACUGGAGGGCAUGCUCUUAAGGUGAGAGGGAAUGAGUUCAAAGGAUGUUGAAGGGCAAGUGUUACACACAGCCUGAGAUGUGCCGAGGGGUGGUAGAGGCAGAUAGAUUUCAGAUUUUUAAGAGAUGUUUAGAUAAGCACAUGAAUGUGAGGGAAAAUGAAGGAUGCAGAUAUUGUGUAAGCAGAAUGGAUUAGUUUGGUUGGCCAUUUGAUUAUUAAUUUAAUUGGACCAAUACAACAUUGUGGGCUGAAAGGUCUGUUCCUGUGUUGUACCGUCCUAUGUUCCAAGUAUGUGACCAAUGCCUCAUAAAAUUUCUGCCUUGAUUUUGCAAGUUCAUCUUCAGGAAUCCUGCACAAGGUAACCCAAGCCCCGUUACACCUGAUUUCUGAAUUUGCUCCCCAUUUAGAGAGCAAUCUAUGCCUUUAAACCUUCUACCAAAUACUUCCGUACCUGUAGACCACCUGCCACUUCUUUGUCCAUUCUCCAAAUCCAUCUAAGCUCCUCUGCAGGCCCCCUUGUUCAUGAACACGACCUGUUCCUCCACAUAGCUUUGUGUUGCCAGCAAAUUUAGCCACAAAGCCAUCAAUUCCUUGGUCCAAAUCAUUGAACAAAUACAUGAAAAGAACAUGACUCCUGUAGAACUCCACAUAUCACCGACAGCCAACCAGGAAAGCCUCCACUUCUUCCUCUAGUACUGGUGCAGUUGGGCGGCAUAUACUGAACAAAUGAGGCAGCCCUCACACCUGCUGGAUGUCUACUGUAGGAUGCUACUGGACUGACACUGGCUCUGGAAUCACUUUUGCAGAAAACACCUGGCAUCUUCCACCCUGAUUCUGAUGUUCGGAUGACCCUCAUUGCAACGGUGCUCAGCUGUAGCGGCGAGACUCCAGGAAUGCAGAGAGUUAUGUUUUCCUGUCAGAGUCCAGUCCUUUGGGUAAUGUUUUCUUUGGAAAUUGUCUGGCAGUUUGACCUCCAUGAGAUGAAGUCAUCAUUCUCCUUAGAAAUGUGGCAUUGACCUUCAAGAAAUUUGAAUGGUGAUGCACAGCCAUCUGAUCGUUCAGCAAGUGUAAACCUUUCCUGUUACUGAAAAGACACAGGUAAUUGAAGUGAGCACCUGUUGACCAUAUAUGCAGUUCCUGCUGCCUUCACUUGUGGAAAAACCCAUUGGCACCUGAAAUGAAGAUAGGUGAAACUGUCCGUCCAUACCGGCUGAUGUCACUGGUGGAAAGAAAUUGGGUGACGUGGCAGAGAUCAGGUGCAACCCUUCGGGAAGAUCUGGUGGUGAGUAAGCUGAUUGUCAAUGCAACCUUGACCUUCAUGGAGUGGCAAAGGCACGUGAGCAUGACAAGAGAUUUGCUGGUGAUUCCACUGUGUUCAAUUCCAUAUACAACUCUUCAGCAAAUGAAUGUAUGCAGGGGCUGACAAGCAUGGGAUCACAAGGAGCUAUUGACAAGUCAAUUGUGGGAACAAGAUUGGAAAAAGCAAGAGCGACCAGUCGAGACAUUCUGCAUGCCGGAGGUUGCUAGGAUCCAUUCUCAAGUCAAUUGUGGGAGAAAAGGUUUGAAAAAGUGAGUGGCACAAGACGAGAAAUUCUGUAUGACCGAGACUGCGGGGUGAUUAUGCACUUGACAAAGGCCAAUAACAAGAAGUCAGAUAUAAGCGAAGGGUCACUACGGAAAUGGCCAUUGUGUUACUGGGACAGUGUUACAGUGCAAGAUUUGUAGCUUGGCUCAAAGAGGUGAAGCGUAAGGUAAGUUUCUGGUAAGCUCCUUUCUUUCUUUGUCUAGCUAGCGUAGAGAGAAUGUGUCCAGUUUCAGUGGGUCCUCAUGUCAGAUGUGGGAAUUCUGGACGAAGAGUAGUCUCUCUGGAAACAGUAAUUGCAAGAAAUGCAUCCAACUGCAGCUCCUUACAGACUGUUUUAGGGAACUAGAGCUGCAUUUGGGUGACCUACAGCUCAUAUGGGAGAAUGAGGAGGAGAUAGUUAAGAACUACAGAGAGGUAUCACUCCUAAGUUGCAGGGGCAGGUAGUUGGGUGACUGUCAAGAGACGGAAAGGGAAUAGACAGAUAUUGUUAUGUAGAGUACCUGUGUGCUGUUCCCCUCAAUAAGAAGUAUACUGUUGAUGGGGGAGGAUGAGCUACCUUAUGGGGGCAUGUCACAGGGUCAGGUUUUAUCAAAUAAAAUUGAUAUAUGAAUUUGCUUCCUUUUUAGAAAAUAGUCUACAUCUUUACUCAUUCUACCAAACUGCAUUACCUUAUAAUUCCCUGUGCCAUGUCCCAUCUGCCACUUCUUUGUCCAUUCUCCUAAUAUAUCUAAGUCUUUCUGCAGACUCCCAUCUUAUCAACACUACCUGCCCCUCCAUCCAGUUUUUUUAUUGCCCAUAGAGGUGGCCACAAAACCAUCAAUCCCUUCAUCCAAAUCACUGGCACAUGAGGUGAAAAGAAGCAGUCCUAAUACUGACACCUAUGGAACACCACGUCACUGGCAGCCAACCAGGAAAGUCCCCACUUCUUGUUCUGACACUGGAUACACUCUGUCAUUGGCUCAGUUGGGCGGCAUAUACCGAACAAAUGAGGCAGCCCUCACACCUGCUGGAUGUCUACUGUAGGAUGCUACUGGACUGACACUGGCUCUGGAAUCACUUUUGCAGAAUACACCUGGCAUCUUCCACCCUGAUUCUGAUGUUUGGAUGACCCUCAUUGCAACGGUGCUCAGCUGUAGCGGCGAGACUCCAGGAAUGCAAAGAGUUAUGUUUUCCUGUCAGAGUCCAGUCCUUUGGGUAAUGUUUUCUUUGGAAAUUGUCUGGCAGUUUGACCUCCAAGAGAUGAAGUCAUCAUUCUCCUUAGAAAUGUGGCAUUGACCUUCAAGAAAUUUGAAUGGUGAUGCACAGCCAUCUGAUCGUUCAGCAAGUGUAAACCUUUCCUGUUACUGAAAAGACACAGGUAAUUGAAGUGAGCACCUGUUGACCAUGCGGGGUUCCCCCGCUAUUCGAAGGUAGAACAUUCCUAUGAAAUGGUUCAUAAGCCGGAAUGUCGUAAACGAAGAAGCAAUUACCAUUUAUUUAUAUGGGAAAAAUUUGUGUGUGUUCCCAGACCCAAAAAAUAACCUACAAAAUCAUGCCAAGGAACACAUAAAACCUGAAAUAACAGGAACAUAUAGUAAAAGUAGGAAUGAUAUGAUAAAUACACAGCCUAUAUAAAGUGGAAAUACUUUUCUGCAAUCAUUGCAGCACUGUCUAGCAUAGCGAAAAUCUCACUACGUAUAAUCUCACUACGUAGCGGAAGCAGUCUCUCCAGUAACCUUUAAGCUACGAGGCUGCCAAAUCAUCUCAAAUAACCCAUAAAAAUACACAGCCUAUAUAGAGUAGAAAUAAUGUAUGUACAGUGUAGUUUCACUUACGGGAAUCGGAAGACAGUGAGCACACUGAUGACGGUGUGUUAGGCUGAGUCAUCAGAGGUUGGGGUGCUCAGCAAUUUUUUCCAAUAAAUUGCAGUUUCGUCACAGUUAAACACUUGCUUAUACGAAUAACCACCUUCUGUAAUUAUUUUCUUCAGUUCUGCUGGGAACUUUUCAGCAGUUUCAGUAUCAGCCGAAGCACUGUCUCCAGUAAACUUUAAGCCAUGAAGCUGCCCUCACCUCAGAAACUGAUCAAACCACACAUGACUACCUUUAAAUUCCACUUUUGCAACACUUCCAUCACCAUUGUCCAGUGCUUUCUGUUUCAGCUUAUUAAACAGACUGACUAGUUUCUCCUUAAGUAUCAGAUAACUUAACGGAACACCACGCUUUGUACACCCAUCAAUCCACUCAAGCAAUAGACUUUCCAUUUUAUCCAUUAUUGGAUGCUGACUAAGAGAGACCACUUUGCUAUGAGCAGAACCUACAGUAACAUCGGCAGCUUUCAAGAUUCUGUCUCUCUGCGUGUAAAUAGUGCGAAUGGUGGACGCAGGCAAGUUCAAUGUGCGGACAAUGUCCUUACUUCGUUCACCAUGAUCAAAACGCUUAAUUAUGUCUAGUUUUACGCUAAGUGUAACACCCUUACGAGCUCUUUUAGGUUUUUCUGAUACCUUAGAACUCAUCUUGCUAACGGAUGCACAAAAUAAAUCAACAUAAAGCACAGUCACAGUCACGUGCUCACUGUCACAGGCACGUGUUUAAGCAGUGCCAGCUAGAAUGCAGUUCCGGGGGAGGAGCUUGGCUGCUUGGGGUGUGCGCUGCCUUUUUUCAUAAAAGUGAAAGCACCUGUUAGCAGAAACAGGUAACUAAUGUAGAUCUUCCGUAACAGCGAGGUGUCGUAAAGUGAAUGUCCGAAAAAUGGGGGCCACCUGUAUAUGCAGUUACUGCUGCCUUAAUUUGUGGAAAAACCCAUUGGUACCUGAAAUGAAGAUAGGUGAAACCGUCCGUCCAUACCGGCUGAUGUCUGGUGGAAACAAAUUGGGUGGCGUGGCAGAGAUCAGGUGCAACCCUUUGAGAAGAUCUGGUGGUGAACAAGUUGAUUGUCAAUGCAAACUUGACCUUCAUGGAGCGGCAACAUGUUGGUGAUUGCAAUGUGUUCAAUUUCAUGUACAACUCUUCAGCAAAUGAUUGCAUACAUAUGCUGAUAAGUUUGAGUUUCCUGGAACUAUUGGAAAUUCAAUGAAGGAGUGACAUUUGAAAAAGUGAGCAGGGCCAGUUGGAACAUUCUGCACGUUUGAGAUUGCAAGGAGCCGUUAACAAUCAGUUGUGGGAGCAAGAUGUGAAAAAGUGAGUAGUGCCUGUCUGGACAUUCUGCACACCUGAGAUCACAUGGUGGUUAUGCUCUUAACAAGGCCCAAUAAAAACAACUCGGGUGUAAGCGAAGCAAUCAUUGUGGGAUUGGCCAUUAUGUGAGUGGGCUACUGUUAGAGUGGAAGAUUUGAUGCUUGGCUCAAAGAGGCUUCGGUGUGAAUAGGCAAAGGGUAAGGUAAGUUUCUGGUAAGUUUCUUUCUUUCUUUGUAUAUUAGUGUAGUGUAGUGAGAAAGUGUCCAGUGUCAGUGAUGGGUACCUCAUGUUGGAUGUGGGAAUUCUGGGUGAACUGCAGUCUCUUUGAGAACUACAUUUGAAUGAUGUGCACCAGCUGCAGCUACUUACAGACCGUGUUAGGGAAAUGGAACAACAGUUUGAUGAGCUACAGCUCAUUCAGGAGAACGAGGAGGAGGUAGUUAAGAUCUGCAGAGAGGCAGGUAGCUGAGUGACUGUCAGGAGAGGGAAAGGGAAUGGGCAGGUUGUCCUGAAUACAUUUCUGCUGUUCCACUAAGCAACAUGUUUACCAGUUUCAAUACUAUUGAGGGGUGAGGGGAGGUUGGGGACCUACCUAAUGGGAGACAGCCGCAGGAUCCAGGUUUCUGGUACUGAGUGUGGUCUGUGGCUUUGAAGGGGAGUUGAGAGAAGAGGAGUGCAAUGUUGAAGGAAUUUUAUACUUAGGUAAGAGGACAGGUGGUAAUGUGGACAUGAAAGAGACACCCAGAUGAUAUGUUCCUUUCCAGGUGCCAGGGUCAGUGAUAUUUCAGAUCAGUCCGUAUCAUUCUAUAGAUGGAGAGUGAGCAGACAGAAAUUGUGGUACAUAUUGGUACCCACAACAUAUGGUAGGAAAAUGGAUGAGGUCCUGAAGAGGGAAUGUUGGGAUUUAGAAAGAAAGCUGAAAAGCAGGACCUCACGGGAAGUAAUCUCUGAAGUGCUGCAUGUGCUAUGCGCCAGUAAGGGUAAGAAUAGGAUGAUUUGGCACACCAAUGCAUGGCUGAGGACCUGGUGCAGGGGCAAGACUUAAGGAUUUUUGAAUCCUUAGUAUCUCUUCAGGAGAGAUACUAUGACCUCCUUAGUGCAAAAACUUUAGAAAUAAAGAAUAGAAUUAGGAAAUCUACAGCACAUUACAAGCCCUUUGGCAUACAAUGUUGUACCAACCAUGUAACCUACUUUAGAAGCUGCCAGGAAUUUCCCUACUGCAUAACCCUUUAUUUUUCUGAGCUCCAUGUACAUAUCUAAGAGUCUCUUAAAAGACUCUAUUGUAUCCACCUCUACCACCUUCGCUGGCAGUGCAUUCCACAAAUGUCGAUGGUGCAGAAUUUGUUAGGUGUGUCCAGGAAGCAUACUUGACACAAUAUGCAGAUAGGCCAUUGAGAGGAGAAGCCACACUAUGUGUGUGGAGAAGCCAGGCAGAAUAUUAGUUUGUUUGAAGAGCAUAAAGAUGGAUAAGACCCCAGUGCCUGAUAGGAAAUGCACCAGGUUAUUGAGAGAGGAAAGAGAUGAAAUUACUGGGGCCUUGACCAACAGUGGUAGAGAAGUUACUGGAGAGAAACCAUAGGGAUAGAAGUUAUGAGCAUUUGAAAAGCCAUGAGCAAGUUAGGAAAAGUCAGCAUGGGUUUAUGCAGGGCAAAUUGUGUCAUAACAACUUGAUUGUGUUUUUUGACAAAGUGACAAGGGUGACUGAUGAAGGUAGAUCUGUCAAUGUUGUCUACAUGGAUUUUAGAAAGGUGUUUGAGACCUUAGCAUUGGGAUAAGGUGCAUGCCUCAUGGGAAGCUGAUGCAGAAGUUUAAGAUGCAUGGGAUUGAUGGUGAAUUGGCUGUUUGGAUUCAGAACUGUCUUGCCAAUUGAAAACAGAGGGUAGUGGUUGAAAGGACCAGUUCUAGCUGGAGGUCUGUGAUUAGUGAUGUUCUGUGGGGAUCAGUACUGGGACCUCUACUGUUUGUGAUAUACUGUACAUAAAUGACAAGAAUGAAAAUGUAGAUGGGUGGGUUAGUAAGUUUGAAAUGUAUGAUACUGGAGUGCAUGCAUUUAAGUUUGGGGGGGGGGUGAGUUCAAAGGAGAUGUGAGGGCUAAUGCUUUUACACAGAGUAUGAGGUGUGCCUGGGGUGGGGUUGGAAGCAGUUACAUUACGGAUGCUUGUGGGAUGUUUAGAUAAGCACACAAAUGUGAAGGAAAUGGAGGCAUAUAGACCUUAUGUAGGCAAAAGUGAUUUGUUUAGUUGGCCGUUUGAUUACUAAUUUAAUUGGUUCAGCACAACACUGUGGGCCAAAGAGUCUGUUCCUGUGCUGUACUGUUCUGUGAUGUAAUUACAGUCUGACCAGUGCCUUAUAAAGCUUCAGCAUUACAUGCUUGCUUUUAUCCUUUUCAAAUUGAAUCCUAACAUUGAAUUUACCUUCCUUACCAGAGAUUCAACUUGCAAGUUCACCUUUAGGAAUCCUGCAUGAAGACUUCCAAGUCCCUUUGCAUCUUUGAUUUAUGAAUUUGCUCCCUAUUCAGAAAAUAGUCUACAUCUUUACUCAUUCUACCAAACUGCAUUACCCUGUAAUUACCUGUGCCAUGUCCCAUCUGCCACUUCUUUGUCCAUUCUCCUAAUAUGUCUAAGUCCUUCUGCAGACUCCCAUCUUCUCAACACUGCCUGCCCCUCCAUCCAGUUUUUUUAUUGCCCAUAGAGGUGGCCACAAAGAUAUUAAUCCCUUCAUCCAAAUCACUGGCACAUGAGGUGAAAAGAAGCAGUCCUAAUACUGGCACCUAUGGAACACCACAUCACUGGCAGCCAACCAGGAAAGUCCCCACUUCUUGUUCUGACACUGGAUACACUCUGUCAUUGGCUCAGUUGGGCGGCAUAUACUGAACAAAUGAGGCAGCCCUCACACCUGCUGGAUGUCUACUGUAGGAUGCUACUGGACUGACACUGGCUCUGGAAUCACUUUUGCAGAAAACACCUGGCAUCUUCCACCCUGAUUCUGAUGUUCGGAUGACCCUCAUUGCAACGGUGCUCAGCUGUAGCGGCGAGACUCCAGGAAUGCAGAGAGUUAUGUUUUCCUGUCAGAGUCCAGUCCUUUGGGUAAUGUUUUCUUUGGAAAUUGUCUGGCAGUUUGACCUCCAUGAGAUGAAGUCAUCAUUCUCCUUAGAAAUGUGGCAUUGACCUUCAAGAAAUUUGAAUGGUGAUGCACAGCCAUCUGAUCGUUCAGCAAGUGUAAACCUUUCCUGUUACUGAAAAGACACAGGUAAUUGAAGUGAGCACCUGUUGACCAUAUAUGCAGUUCCUGCUGCCUUCACUUGUGGAAAAACCCAUUGGCACCUGAAAUGAAGAUAGGUGAAACUGUCCGUCCAUACCGGCUGAUGUCACUGGUGGAAAGAAAUUGGGUGACGUGGCAGAGAUCAGGUGCAACCCUUCGGGAAGAUCUGGUGGUGAGUAAGCUGAUUGUCAAUGCAACCUUGACCUUCAUGGAGUGGCAAAGGCACGUGAGCAUGACAAGAGAUUUGCUGGUGAUUCCACUGUGUUCAAUUCCAUAUACAACUCUUCAGCAAAUGAAUGCAUAUAUGUGCUAAAAAGCCUGGGUUUGCAUCGAACCAUUGGUGUGUCAAUUGCUGGAAUGAGAUUUGAAAAAGAGAGCAUGGCCAGUUGGGACUUUCUGCAUACCAUGAAUUGUGAGGAAUCAUUAGCAAAUCAAUUUUGGAAGAAAGAUUUGAAAAAGUGAGCAGGACCAAUUGAAACAUUCUGCACAUCUGAGAUUGCAAGGAGCCAUUAGCAAUCUGUUGUGGAAGUGAGAUGUGAAAAAGCAUGUGACGUCGGUUUGGACAUUCUGCACACCUGAGAUCGCAGGGUGGUUAUGCACCUAUCAAGGGCCAAUAAAAACGACUCGGGUGUAAGCAAAGCAAUCAUCGUGGGAUUGGCCAUUAUGUGAGUAGGCCACUGUUAGAGUGGAGGAUUUGAGGCUUGGCUCAAAGAGGCUUUGGCGAGAAUAGGCAAAAGGUAAGGUAAGUUUCUGGUAAGUUUCUUUCUUUCUUUGUAUAUUAGUGCAUAGCUAGCAUAGUGAGAAAGUGUCCAGUGUCAGUGAAGGGUACUUCAUGUUGGAUGUGGGAAUUCUGGGUGAACUGCAGUCUCCCUGAGAACUACAUUUGAAUGAGGUACUUUUAGCUGCAGCUCCUUACAGACUGUGUUAGGGAACUGGAGCUGCAUUUGGGUGACCUACAGCUUCUAUGAGAGAAUGAGGAGAUAGUUAAGAUCUAUGGAGAGGUAUCACUCCUAAGUUGUAGGAGGCAGGUAGCUGGGUUAUUGUCAGGAGAGAGAAAGGGAAUAGGCAGGUUGUGCUAAAUACUCCUGUGCUGUUCUAUUCAGUAACAAGUAUACCAGUUUGGAUAUCUUUGUGAGGGACGGGGAGCCACCUAACGGGGGAAAGCUGUGGUGUCCAGGUCUCUGGUACUGAGUCUAGCUCUGCGGCUCAGAAGGGGAGCGGGGAGAAAAGGAGUGCAGUGUUGAGAGGGGAUUUUAUACUUAGAUGAGCAGACAGUCAAUUCUAUGGACAUGAAAGAGACCCCUAUAUGGUAUGUUGCUUCCCAGUUGCCAGGGUCAGCAAUAUUUCAGAUUAGCCACAACAUUCUAAAUACGGAAAGUGAGUAGCCAGAAGUUGUGGUAUAUAUUGGUACCCACAACAUAUAGGUAGGAAAAGGAAUGAGGUCAGGAAGAGAGAGUCCGGAGUUAAGAAGUAAGCUGAAAAGCAGGACCUCAAGGGUAGUAAUCUCUGAAGUGCUGCAUGUGCUAUGUGCUAGUGAGGUUAAGAGUAGGGUGAUUUGGCAGAUGAAUGCAUGGCUGAGGAACUGUGUAGGGAUCAGAGUUUCAUAUUUUUGGAAGGUUGGUAUCUCUUCUGGGGAGGAUAUGACCUAUGCAAAAAGGACAAGUUACACCUGAACAUGAGAGGGACUAAAUACCACUACAGGGAGGUUUGCUGGAGCUGUUGGUGAGGAUUUAAACUAGUUUGGCAGAGGGAUGGAUGCCAGAGGAUGGGGCAGUUGGUGUGCAGGUAGAUGCAGCAUGUAGAGAGACUGAGAAAGACAGGCAUUCAAUAGGAUAAAACUACAAUAUAUGGGAUUGGGUGAAGUGUGUCUAUUUUAAUGCUAUCAGCAACAAGGGUAAAGAACUUAGAGCAUGGAUCAGUACAUGAAACUAUGAUGUUUUGGCCAUUACAGAGUCAGACCUGUCACAAGGGCAGGGGUGGCUGGUGGAUGUAUCAGGUUUUAGGUGUGACAAAAUUGACAGGAAGGGAGGUAAAAGAAGUGGGGAAGUGGCAUUGCUAAUCAAGGAUAGUAUCACAGGUGCAUAAAGGAAGGGUGGCGUGAAGACACUGUCUACUGAGACACUGUGGGUGUAAGUCUGAAACAGUAAAAAGAGCAAGGACUCAUUUUUUAAUGUUCGAUAGACCCUCCUAACAGCAACAAAGAUACUGAGGAUUAGAUCAGGAGUCAGAUUUUGGAAAGGUACAGAAAAGAACAGGGCUGUUGUUAAGGGGAACUUAAACUUCUCUGAUUUUGAUUGGCAUUUGCUGAGUCAAAUGGUUUAGAUGGGGUGGAAUUUGUUAGGUGUGUCCAGGAAGCACUCCUGACACAAUACGUAGACAGGCCAACGAGAUUAGAGCCCACACUAUAUCUGGCGCUAGGCCUGAUGGGAUAUACAACAGGUUAUUGAGAGAGGCAGGAGAUGAGAUUACUGGGACCUUGAUUAAAACAUUUGUGUCCUCUCUACCUGCAGUCAAGAUUCCAGACGACUUUCAAUUUGCUAAUGUUGUUACCAUAGUCAAUAAGUGAACCAGGGAAAUUCCUGAACACCAUAUUCCGGCAAGUUGCAUGUCAGAGAUAGGUAAGUUACUGAAGAGAAUUUGAAGGGGAAGGAAUUAAGAGCAUUUUGCAAACCAUGGCUGAUUUAGGGAGAACCAAUAUAGCUUUGUGCAGGACAAGUUGUGUCUUGCUAACUUGACUGAGCUUUUUGAGGAGAUGAUAAAGGUAGAUCUGUGAAUGUUAUCGACAUGGAUUUUAUUAAGGUGUUUGACAAUGUCCCUCAUGGGAGGCUGAUGGAGAAGUUUAAGGUGCAUGGGAUUGAUGGUGAAUUGGCUGUUUGGAUUCAGAACUGUCUUGCCUAUUGAAAACAGAGGGUAGUGGUUGAAAGGACCAGUUCUAGCAGGAGGUCUGUGAUUAGUGAUGUUCUGCAGGGAUCAGUACUGGGACCUCUACUGUUUGUGAUAUACUGUACAUAAAUGACAAGAAUGAAAAUGUAGAUGGGUGGGUUAGUAAGUUUGAAAUGUAUGAUACUGGAGUGCAUGCAUUUAAGUUUGGGGGGGGGUGAGUUCAAAGGAGAUGUGAGGGCUAAUGCUUUUACACAGAGUAUGAGGUGUGCCUGGGGUGGGGUUGGAAGCAGUUACAUUACGGAUGCUUGUGGGAUGUUUAGAUAAGCACACAAAUGUGAAGGAAAUGGAGGCAUAUAGACCUUAUGUAGGCAAAAGUGAUUUGUUUAGUUGGCCGUUUGAUUACUAAUUUAAUUGGUUCAGCACAACACUGUGGGCCAAAGAGUCUGUUCCUGUGCUGUACUGUUCUGUGAUGUAAUUACAGUCUGACCAGUGCCUUAUAAAGCUUCAGCAUUACAUGCUUGCUUUUAUCCUUUUCAAAUUGAAUCCUAACAUUGAAUUUACCUUCCUUACCAGAGAUUCAACUUGCAAGUUCACCUUUAGGAAUCCUGCAUGAAGACUUCCAAGUCCCUUUGCAUCUUUGAUUUAUGAAUUUGCUCCCUAUUCAGAAAAUAGUCUACAUCUUUACUCAUUCUACCAAACUGCAUUACCCUGUAAUUACCUGUGCCAUGUCCCAUCUGCCACUUCUUUGUCCAUUCUCCUAAUAUGUCUAAGUCCUUCUGCAGACUCCCAUCUUCUCAACACUGCCUGCCCCUCCAUCCAGUUUUUUUAUUGCCCAUAGAGGUGGCCACAAAGAUAUUAAUCCCUUCAUCCAAAUCACUGGCACAUGAGGUGAAAAGAAGCAGUCCUAAUACUGGCACCUAUGGAACACCACAUCACUGGCAGCCAACCAGGAAAGUCCCCACUUCUUGUUCUGACACUGGAUACACUCUGUCAUUGGCUCAGUUGGGCGGCAUAUACUGAACAAAUGAGGCAGCCCUCACACCUGCUGGAUGUCUACUGUAGGAUGCUACUGGACUGACACUGGCUCUGGAAUCACUUUUGCAGAAAACACCUGGCAUCUUCCACCCUGAUUCUGAUGUUCGGAUGACCCUCAUUGCAACGGUGCUCAGCUGUAGCGGCGAGACUCCAGGAAUGCAGAGAGUUAUGUUUUCCUGUCAGAGUCCAGUCCUUUGGGUAAUGUUUUCUUUGGAAAUUGUCUGGCAGUUUGACCUCCAUGAGAUGAAGUCAUCAUUCUCCUUAGAAAUGUGGCAUUGACCUUCAAGAAAUUUGAAUGGUGAUGCACAGCCAUCUGAUCGUUCAGCAAGUGUAAACCUUUCCUGUUACUGAAAAGACACAGGUAAUUGAAGUGAGCACCUGUUGACCAUAUAUGCAGUUCCUGCUGCCUUCACUUGUGGAAAAACCCAUUGGCACCUGAAAUGAAGAUAGGUGAAACUGUCCGUCCAUACCGGCUGAUGUCACUGGUGGAAAGAAAUUGGGUGACGUGGCAGAGAUCAGGUGCAACCCUUCGGGAAGAUCUGGUGGUGAGUAAGCUGAUUGUCAAUGCAACCUUGACCUUCAUGGAGUGGCAAAGGCACGUGAGCAUGACAAGAGAUUUGCUGGUGAUUCCACUGUGUUCAAUUCCAUAUACAACUCUUCAGCAAAUGAAUGCAUAUAUGUGCUAAAAAGCCUGGGUUUGCAUCGAACCAUUGGUGUGUCAAUUGCUGGAAUGAGAUUUGAAAAAGAGAGCAUGGCCAGUUGGGACUUUCUGCAUACCAUGAAUUGUGAGGAAUCAUUAGCAAAUCAAUUUUGGAAGAAAGAUUUGAAAAAGUGAGCAGGACCAAUUGAAACAUUCUGCACAUCUGAGAUUGCAAGGAGCCAUUAGCAAUCUGUUGUGGAAGUGAGAUGUGAAAAAGCAUGUGACGUCGGUUUGGACAUUCUGCACACCUGAGAUCGCAGGGUGGUUAUGCACCUAUCAAGGGCCAAUAAAAACGACUCGGGUGUAAGCAAAGCAAUCAUCGUGGGAUUGGCCAUUAUGUGAGUAGGCCACUGUUAGAGUGGAGGAUUUGAGGCUUGGCUCAAAGAGGCUUUGGCGAGAAUAGGCAAAAGGUAAGGUAAGUUUCUGGUAAGUUUCUUUCUUUCUUUGUAUAUUAGUGCAUAGCUAGCAUAGUGAGAAAGUGUCCAGUGUCAGUGAAGGGUACUUCAUGUUGGAUGUGGGAAUUCUGGGUGAACUGCAGUCUCCCUGAGAACUACAUUUGAAUGAGGUACUUUUAGCUGCAGCUCCUUACAGACUGUGUUAGGGAACUGGAGCUGCAUUUGGGUGACCUACAGCUUCUAUGAGAGAAUGAGGAGAUAGUUAAGAUCUAUGGAGAGGUAUCACUCCUAAGUUGUAGGAGGCAGGUAGCUGGGUUAUUGUCAGGAGAGAGAAAGGGAAUAGGCAGGUUGUGCUAAAUACUCCUGUGCUGUUCUAUUCAGUAACAAGUAUACCAGUUUGGAUAUCUUUGUGAGGGACGGGGAGCCACCUAACGGGGGAAAGCUGUGGUGUCCAGGUCUCUGGUACUGAGUCUAGCUCUGCGGCUCAGAAGGGGAGCGGGGAGAAAAGGAGUGCAGUGUUGAGAGGGGAUUUUAUACUUAGAUGAGCAGACAGUCAAUUCUAUGGACAUGAAAGAGACCCCUAUAUGGUAUGUUGCUUCCCAGUUGCCAGGGUCAGCAAUAUUUCAGAUUAGCCACAACAUUCUAAAUACGGAAAGUGAGUAGCCAGAAGUUGUGGUAUAUAUUGGUACCCACAACAUAUAGGUAGGAAAAGGAAUGAGGUCAGGAAGAGAGAGUCCGGAGUUAAGAAGUAAGCUGAAAAGCAGGACCUCAAGGGUAGUAAUCUCUGAAGUGCUGCAUGUGCUAUGUGCUAGUGAGGUUAAGAGUAGGGUGAUUUGGCAGAUGAAUGCAUGGCUGAGGAACUGUGUAGGGAUCAGAGUUUCAUAUUUUUGGAAGGUUGGUAUCUCUUCUGGGGAGGAUAUGACCUAUGCAAAAAGGACAAGUUACACCUGAACAUGAGAGGGACUAAAUACCACUACAGGGAGGUUUGCUGGAGCUGUUGGUGAGGAUUUAAACUAGUUUGGCAGAGGGAUGGAUGCCAGAGGAUGGGGCAGUUGGUGUGCAGGUAGAUGCAGCAUGUAGAGAGACUGAGAAAGACAGGCAUUCAAUAGGAUAAAACUACAAUAUAUGGGAUUGGGUGAAGUGUGUCUAUUUUAAUGCUAUCAGCAACAAGGGUAAAGAACUUAGAGCAUGGAUCAGUACAUGAAACUAUGAUGUUUUGGCCAUUACAGAGUCAGACCUGUCACAAGGGCAGGGGUGGCUGGUGGAUGUAUCAGGUUUUAGGUGUGACAAAAUUGACAGGAAGGGAGGUAAAAGAAGUGGGGAAGUGGCAUUGCUAAUCAAGGAUAGUAUCACAGGUGCAUAAAGGAAGGGUGGCGUGAAGACACUGUCUACUGAGACACUGUGGGUGUAAGUCUGAAACAGUAAAAAGAGCAAGGACUCAUUUUUUAAUGUUCGAUAGACCCUCCUAACAGCAACAAAGAUACUGAGGAUUAGAUCAGGAGUCAGAUUUUGGAAAGGUACAGAAAAGAACAGGGCUGUUGUUAAGGGGAACUUAAACUUCUCUGAUUUUGAUUGGCAUUUGCUGAGUCAAAUGGUUUAGAUGGGGUGGAAUUUGUUAGGUGUGUCCAGGAAGCACUCCUGACACAAUACGUAGACAGGCCAACGAGAUUAGAGCCCACACUAUAUCUGGCGCUAGGCCUGAUGGGAUAUACAACAGGUUAUUGAGAGAGGCAGGAGAUGAGAUUACUGGGACCUUGAUUAAAACAUUUGUGUCCUCUCUACCUGCAGUCAAGAUUCCAGACGACUUUCAAUUUGCUAAUGUUGUUACCAUAGUCAAUAAGUGAACCAGGGAAAUUCCUGAACACCAUAUUCCGGCAAGUUGCAUGUCAGAGAUAGGUAAGUUACUGAAGAGAAUUUGAAGGGGAAGGAAUUAAGAGCAUUUUGCAAACCAUGGCUGAUUUAGGGAGAACCAAUAUAGCUUUGUGCAGGACAAGUUGUGUCUUGCUAACUUGACUGAGCUUUUUGAGGAGAUGAUAAAGGUAGAUCUGUGAAUGUUAUCGACAUGGAUUUUAUUAAGGUGUUUGACAAUGUCCCUCAUGGGAGGCUGAUGGAGAAGUUUAAGGUGCAUGGGAUUGAUGGUGAAUUGGCUGUUUGGAUUCAGAACUGUCUUGCCUAUUGAAAACAGAGGGUAGUGGUUGAAAGGACCAGUUCUAGCAGGAGGUCUGUGAUUAGUGAUGUUCUGCAGGGAUCAGUACUGGGACCUCUACUGUUUGUGAUAUACUGUACAUAAAUGACAAGAAUGAAAAUGUAGAUGGGUGGGUUAGUAAGUUUGAAAUGUAUGAUACUGGAGUGCAUGCAUUUAAGUUUGGGGGGGGGUGAGUUCAAAGGAGAUGUGAGGGCUAAUGCUUUUACACAGAGUAUGAGGUGUGCCUGGGGUGGGGUUGGAAGCAGUUACAUUACGGAUGCUUGUGGGAUGUUUAGAUAAGCACACAAAUGUGAAGGAAAUGGAGGCAUAUAGACCUUAUGUAGGCAAAAGUGAUUUGUUUAGUUGGCCGUUUGAUUACUAAUUUAAUUGGUUCAGCACAACACUGUGGGCCAAAGAGUCUGUUCCUGUGCUGUACUGUUCUGUGAUGUAAUUACAGUCUGACCAGUGCCUUAUAAAGCUUCAGCAUUACAUGCUUGCUUUUAUCCUUUUCAAAUUGAAUCCUAACAUUGAAUUUACCUUCCUUACCAGAGAUUCAACUUGCAAGUUCACCUUUAGGAAUCCUGCAUGAAGACUUCCAAGUCCCUUUGCAUCUUUGAUUUAUGAAUUUGCUCCCUAUUCAGAAAAUAGUCUACAUCUUUACUCAUUCUACCAAACUGCAUUACCCUGUAAUUACCUGUGCCAUGUCCCAUCUGCCACUUCUUUGUCCAUUCUCCUAAUAUGUCUAAGUCCUUCUGCAGACUCCCAUCUUCUCAACACUGCCUGCCCCUCCAUCCAGUUUUUUUAUUGCCCAUAGAGGUGGCCACAAAGAUAUUAAUCCCUUCAUCCAAAUCACUGGCACAUGAGGUGAAAAGAAGCAGUCCUAAUACUGGCACCUAUGGAACACCACAUCACUGGCAGCCAACCAGGAAAGUCCCCACUUCUUGUUCUGACACUGGAUACACUCUGUCAUUGGCUCAGUUGGGCGGCAUAUACUGAACAAAUGAGGCAGCCCUCACACCUGCUGGAUGUCUACUGUAGGAUGCUACUGGACUGACACUGGCUCUGGAAUCACUUUUGCAGAAAACACCUGGCAUCUUCCACCCUGAUUCUGAUGUUCGGAUGACCCUCAUUGCAACGGUGCUCAGCUGUAGCGGCGAGACUCCAGGAAUGCAGAGAGUUAUGUUUUCCUGUCAGAGUCCAGUCCUUUGGGUAAUGUUUUCUUUGGAAAUUGUCUGGCAGUUUGACCUCCAUGAGAUGAAGUCAUCAUUCUCCUUAGAAAUGUGGCAUUGACCUUCAAGAAAUUUGAAUGGUGAUGCACAGCCAUCUGAUCGUUCAGCAAGUGUAAACCUUUCCUGUUACUGAAAAGACACAGGUAAUUGAAGUGAGCACCUGUUGACCAUAUAUGCAGUUCCUGCUGCCUUCACUUGUGGAAAAACCCAUUGGCACCUGAAAUGAAGAUAGGUGAAACUGUCCGUCCAUACCGGCUGAUGUCACUGGUGGAAAGAAAUUGGGUGACGUGGCAGAGAUCAGGUGCAACCCUUCGGGAAGAUCUGGUGGUGAGUAAGCUGAUUGUCAAUGCAACCUUGACCUUCAUGGAGUGGCAAAGGCACGUGAGCAUGACAAGAGAUUUGCUGGUGAUUCCACUGUGUUCAAUUCCAUAUACAACUCUUCAGCAAAUGAAUGCAUAUAUGUGCUAAAAAGCCUGGGUUUGCAUCGAACCAUUGGUGUGUCAAUUGCUGGAAUGAGAUUUGAAAAAGAGAGCAUGGCCAGUUGGGACUUUCUGCAUACCAUGAAUUGUGAGGAAUCAUUAGCAAAUCAAUUUUGGAAGAAAGAUUUGAAAAAGUGAGCAGGACCAAUUGAAACAUUCUGCACAUCUGAGAUUGCAAGGAGCCAUUAGCAAUCUGUUGUGGAAGUGAGAUGUGAAAAAGCAUGUGACGUCGGUUUGGACAUUCUGCACACCUGAGAUCGCAGGGUGGUUAUGCACCUAUCAAGGGCCAAUAAAAACGACUCGGGUGUAAGCAAAGCAAUCAUCGUGGGAUUGGCCAUUAUGUGAGUAGGCCACUGUUAGAGUGGAGGAUUUGAGGCUUGGCUCAAAGAGGCUUUGGCGAGAAUAGGCAAAAGGUAAGGUAAGUUUCUGGUAAGUUUCUUUCUUUCUUUGUAUAUUAGUGCAUAGCUAGCAUAGUGAGAAAGUGUCCAGUGUCAGUGAAGGGUACUUCAUGUUGGAUGUGGGAAUUCUGGGUGAACUGCAGUCUCCCUGAGAACUACAUUUGAAUGAGGUACUUUUAGCUGCAGCUCCUUACAGACUGUGUUAGGGAACUGGAGCUGCAUUUGGGUGACCUACAGCUUCUAUGAGAGAAUGAGGAGAUAGUUAAGAUCUAUGGAGAGGUAUCACUCCUAAGUUGUAGGAGGCAGGUAGCUGGGUUAUUGUCAGGAGAGAGAAAGGGAAUAGGCAGGUUGUGCUAAAUACUCCUGUGCUGUUCUAUUCAGUAACAAGUAUACCAGUUUGGAUAUCUUUGUGAGGGACGGGGAGCCACCUAACGGGGGAAAGCUGUGGUGUCCAGGUCUCUGGUACUGAGUCUAGCUCUGCGGCUCAGAAGGGGAGCGGGGAGAAAAGGAGUGCAGUGUUGAGAGGGGAUUUUAUACUUAGAUGAGCAGACAGUCAAUUCUAUGGACAUGAAAGAGACCCCUAUAUGGUAUGUUGCUUCCCAGUUGCCAGGGUCAGCAAUAUUUCAGAUUAGCCACAACAUUCUAAAUACGGAAAGUGAGUAGCCAGAAGUUGUGGUAUAUAUUGGUACCCACAACAUAUAGGUAGGAAAAGGAAUGAGGUCAGGAAGAGAGAGUCCGGAGUUAAGAAGUAAGCUGAAAAGCAGGACCUCAAGGGUAGUAAUCUCUGAAGUGCUGCAUGUGCUAUGUGCUAGUGAGGUUAAGAGUAGGGUGAUUUGGCAGAUGAAUGCAUGGCUGAGGAACUGUGUAGGGAUCAGAGUUUCAUAUUUUUGGAAGGUUGGUAUCUCUUCUGGGGAGGAUAUGACCUAUGCAAAAAGGACAAGUUACACCUGAACAUGAGAGGGACUAAAUACCACUACAGGGAGGUUUGCUGGAGCUGUUGGUGAGGAUUUAAACUAGUUUGGCAGAGGGAUGGAUGCCAGAGGAUGGGGCAGUUGGUGUGCAGGUAGAUGCAGCAUGUAGAGAGACUGAGAAAGACAGGCAUUCAAUAGGAUAAAACUACAAUAUAUGGGAUUGGGUGAAGUGUGUCUAUUUUAAUGCUAUCAGCAACAAGGGUAAAGAACUUAGAGCAUGGAUCAGUACAUGAAACUAUGAUGUUUUGGCCAUUACAGAGUCAGACCUGUCACAAGGGCAGGGGUGGCUGGUGGAUGUAUCAGGUUUUAGGUGUGACAAAAUUGACAGGAAGGGAGGUAAAAGAAGUGGGGAAGUGGCAUUGCUAAUCAAGGAUAGUAUCACAGGUGCAUAAAGGAAGGGUGGCGUGAAGACACUGUCUACUGAGACACUGUGGGUGUAAGUCUGAAACAGUAAAAAGAGCAAGGACUCAUUUUUUAAUGUUCGAUAGACCCUCCUAACAGCAACAAAGAUACUGAGGAUUAGAUCAGGAGUCAGAUUUUGGAAAGGUACAGAAAAGAACAGGGCUGUUGUUAAGGGGAACUUAAACUUCUCUGAUUUUGAUUGGCAUUUGCUGAGUCAAAUGGUUUAGAUGGGGUGGAAUUUGUUAGGUGUGUCCAGGAAGCACUCCUGACACAAUACGUAGACAGGCCAACGAGAUUAGAGCCCACACUAUAUCUGGCGCUAGGCCUGAUGGGAUAUACAACAGGUUAUUGAGAGAGGCAGGAGAUGAGAUUACUGGGACCUUGAUUAAAACAUUUGUGUCCUCUCUACCUGCAGUCAAGAUUCCAGACGACUUUCAAUUUGCUAAUGUUGUUACCAUAGUCAAUAAGUGAACCAGGGAAAUUCCUGAACACCAUAUUCCGGCAAGUUGCAUGUCAGAGAUAGGUAAGUUACUGAAGAGAAUUUGAAGGGGAAGGAAUUAAGAGCAUUUUGCAAACCAUGGCUGAUUUAGGGAGAACCAAUAUAGCUUUGUGCAGGACAAGUUGUGUCUUGCUAACUUGACUGAGCUUUUUGAGGAGAUGAUAAAGGUAGAUCUGUGAAUGUUAUCGACAUGGAUUUUAUUAAGGUGUUUGACAACGUCCCUCAUGGGAGGCUGAUGGAGAAGUUUAAGGUGCAUGGGAUUGAUGGUGAAUUGGCUGUUUGGAUUCAGAACUGUCUUGCCUAUUGAAAACAGAGGGUAGUGGUUGAAAGGACCAGUUCUAGCAGGAGGUCUGUGAUUAGUGAUGUUCUGCAGGGAUCAGUACUGGGACCUCUACUGUUUGUGAUAUACUGUACAUAAAUGACAAGAAUGAAAAUGUAGAUGGGUGGGUUAGUAAGUUUGAAAUGUAUGAUACUGGAGUGCAUGCAUUUAAGUUUGGGGGGGGGGUGAGUUCAAAGGAGAUGUGAGGGCUAAUGCUUUUACACAGAGAGUGAGGUGUGCCUGGGGUGGUGGUAGAAGCAGAUACACUACGGACUUUUACGGACUUAUGGAAGUGGAAGGAUAUGGGCAUUGUGUAGGCAGAAGUGAUUAAUUUCUCAAUAUGAAUGCUAACAUUGAAUUGGCCUUCCUUAUCACAGACUCAACCUGCAACUUCACCUUUAGGAUCCUGCACAAGGACUCCCAAGUCCCUUUCCACUUCUGAUUGAUGAAUUUGCACACUGUUUAAAAAUAGUCUACUCCUUUACUUCUUCUACCACCGUGCUUGACCCUAGACUUAAAAACACAAUAUUCCAUGUGCCACUCCUUUGCCCGUUCUCCUAAUCUGUCUAAGUUCUUCUGUGGACUCCCUUGUUCCUCAGCAUUACUUGACACUUCACCAAGCUUUGUAUUGCCUGCAAACAUGGCCACAAAACCAUCAAUCCCUUUAUCCAAGUCACUGGCACAUGAGGUGAAAAGAAGCAGUCCUAAUACUGACACCUACGGAACACCACGUCACUGGCAGCCAACCAGGAAAGUCCCCACUUCUUGUUCUGACACUGGAUACACUCUGUCAUUGGCUCAGUUGGGCGGCAUAUACUGAACAAAUGAGGCAGCCCUCACACCUGCUGGAUGUCUACUGUAGGAUGCUACUGGACUGACACUGGCUCUGGAAUCACUUUUGCAGAAAACACCUGGCAUCUUCCACCCUGAUUCUGAUGUUCGGAUGACCCUCAUUGCAACGGUGCUCAGCUGUAGCGGCGAGACUCCAGGAAUGCAGAGAGUUAUGUUUUCCCGUCAGAGUCCAGUCCUUUGGGUAAUGUUUUCUUUGGAAAUUGUCUGGCAGUUUGACCUCCAUGAGAUGAAGUCAUCAUUCUCCUUAGAAAUGUGGCAUUGACCUUCAAGAAAUUUGAAUGGUGAUGCACAGCCAUCUGAUCGUUCAGCAAGUGUAAACCUUUCCUGUUACUGAAAAGACACAGGUAAUUGAAGUGAGCACCUGUUGACCAUAUAUGCAAUUCCUGCUGCCUUCACUUGUGGAAAAACCCAUUGGCACCUGAAAUGAAGAUAGGUGAAACUGUCCGUCCAUACCGGCUGAUGUCUCUGGUGGAAAGAAAUUGGGUGACGUGGCAGAGAUCAGGUGCAACCCUUCGGGAAGAUCUGGUGGUGAGUAAGCUGAUUGUCAAUGCAACCUUGACCUUCAUGGAGUGGCAAAGGCACGUGAGCAUGACAAGAGAUUUGCUGGUGAUUCCACUGUGUUCAAUUCCAUAUACAACUCUUCAGCAAAUGAAUGUAUGCAGGGGCUGAUAAGGAAGAGAUCAUGUGGAGCCAUUGGAGAGUCAAUUGUGGGAACAAGAUUUGAAAAACUGAAUGGAGCCAGUUAGGACAUAAUGCAUGUCUGAGAUCACGUGGAGCCAUGGGUGAAUCAUUUCUGGAAGCAAGAAUGGAAAAAGCAAGUGAGGCCAUUUGGGACAUUCUGCAUGUCCUGAGAUUGCUCAGAGCCAUGAGCAAGUUAAUUGUGGGUGAAAAAUUUGAAAAAGCAAGCUCAGCCAAUUGGAGCAUUUUGUACAGCAGAGAUUGCAAGAAGCAAUUGGCAAGAAGUCAUGGAAACAAGAUUAGAUAAAACAAAUGGGGCCAGUUGGGACAUUCUGCUUGGGAUGAUCAUGCACUUGACAAGGGGCAAUAAAAAGGAGCCAGGUGUAAGCAAGGUGGUCUUUGUGGGAGUGGCCAUCGUGUGAGUGUUAGACUGGAGGAUUUGAGGCUUGUCUCAAAGAGGCUUCGGUGGAAAGGCAAAGGAUAAGGUAAGUUACUGGUAAGCUCCUGUAUUACUUUGUCUAUUAGUGCCUAGCUAGUGGAGUUAGAAUGUGUCCAGUGUCAGUGAUGGGUUCUUCACGUUGCAUGCAGGAUAUCUGGGUAAACUGCAGUCUCCCUGGGAACUCCACUUAUGUGAUUAGCACCAGCUGCAGCUCCUUACAGACAGUGUUAGGGAACUGAAGCUGCAGUUGGAUGAGUUACAGCUCAAAUGGAAGAAUGAGGAGGAGGUAGUUAAGGCCUACAGAGAGGUAUUCACCUCUAAGUUGCAGGAGGCAGGUAACUGGGUGAUUGUCACAAGAAGGAAAAGGAACAAGCAGACAGUGCAGAGUACCCUUGUACUCUGUUCCUUUCAGUAACAAAUAUAGCACUGUUCAUACUGCUGGGGAGUGUGUGGGAGGGACCUUUCGGGGGAAAGCAGCAGCAUCCAGAUCUCUGAGAUUGAGUCUGAAUUUGUGGCUUAGAAGGGAAGUGGGGAGAAUGGCUGAUGGGUGUUCUGGAGUUUAGAUUUUUCAAAGGGGACAGAGGGUUCCAAAAGAGGUGGGGAAGUGGCACUUGUUUAAUCAUGGAUAAUAUCACAGCUGCAGAAAGGGAAGAUGUCAUUUAGGGAUUGUCUACUGGAUCAGUCUGUGUGGAAAUCAGUAAUAGGAAAGUAGCAAUCAAUCUCUUGGAAUAUCGAAUAGACAGUGAAGAACAGAUCAGGAGGCAGGGUUUGGAAAGAUGCAGAUAUAACAGGGCUAUUGGCAUGGGGAACUUCAAUUUCCCAAAUAUUGAUUGGUACCUCCUUAGUGCAAAGGUUUGGUUGAUGUGGAAUUUGUUAGUUGUGUCCAGGAAGCAUUUCUGACACAAUAUGUAGACAAGCAAAUAAGAAUAGAUAUCUGGUACUAGGCAGAGGGCUGGUUCUCAUGAAGAUCGUUAAGGUGGGGCUGUCCCCAGUGCCUGAUGGGAUAUACAACAGGUUUUUGAGAGAGGCAGGAGUUGAGAUUACUGGGGCUUUGACCAAAACUUUUGUGUCCUCUCUACCUGCAGGCAAGAUCCCAGAGGACCUUUGAGUAGCUAAUGUUGUUACCUUAAUAAGUGAAUCGGAUAAUCUUGAACACCGGAGCUGGUGAAUCACACAUCAGAGAUAGGGAAGUUAAUGGAGAGAAUUUGUACGGAUGUGAUUCAUGUGCAUUUGGAAAACCAUGGUCAAAUUAAGGAGAGCCAAUAUGGCUUUGUGCAGGGCAUGUUGAGUCCUACUAACUUAAUAGAUUUUUUGUCGAGGUGAUUAGGGUGGUUGAUGAAGGUAGAGGUGAGGAUAUUAUCGACAUGGAUUUUAUUAAGGUGUUUGAUAACGUUCCUCAUAGGAGGCUGAUGCAGAAGUUUAAGAUGCAUGGGAUUGAUGAUGAAUUGGCUGUUUGGAUUCAGAACUGGCUUGCCUAUUGAAAAGAGAGGGUAGUGGUUGAAGGGACUUAUUCUAGGUGGAGGUCUGUGAUUAGAGGUGUUCCUCAGGGAUCAGAACUGGGACCUCUAUUUUUUGUGCUGUACUGUAGGUAAAUGACAAGAAUGAAAAUGGAGAUGGGAGGGAUAGUAGGUUUGAAAUGUCUCAUACUGUGGUGUGUGCUUGGGGUAGUGAUAGAGGUAGUUACAUUAGACUUCUAAGAGAUAUUUUGACAAGCAGAUGAGAAUGAGAGAAAUGGGAGGAUACAGACAUUGUGUGAACAUAGAACAUAGAAUAGUACAGCACAUUACAGACCCUUCGGCCUACAAUAUUGUGUCGACCCUCAGACCCUGCCUCCCAUAUAACCCCCCACCUUAAAUUCCUCCAUAUACCUGUCUAGUAGUCUCUUAAACUUCAUUAGUGUAUCUGCCUCCACCACUGACUCAGGUAGUGCAUUCCACGCACCAACCACUCUCUGAGUGAAAAACCUUCCUCUAAUAACCCCUUUGAACUUCCCUCCCCUUACCUUAAGGCCAUGUCCUCUUGUACUGAGCAGUGGUCCCCUGGGGAAGAGGCGCUGGCUGUCCACUCUGCCUAUUCCUCUUAAUAUCUUGUACACCUCUAUCAUGUCUCCUCUCAUCCCCCUUCUCUCCAAAGAGUAAAGCCCUAGCUCCCUUAAUCUCUGAUCAUAAUGCAUACUCCCUAAACCAGGCAGCAUCCUGGUAAAUCUCCUCUGUGCCCUUUGCAAUGCUUCCACAUCCUUCCUAUACUGAGGUGACCAGAACUGGACACAGUAUUCCAAGUGUGGCCUAAUCAGAGUUUUAUACAGCUGCAUCAUUACCCUGCGACUCUUAAACUCUAUCCCUCGACUUAUGAAAGCUAACACCCCAUAAACUUUCUUAACUACCCUAUCUACCUGUGAGGCAACUUUCAGGGAUCUGUGGACAUGUACCCCCAGAUCCCUCUGCUCCUCCACAUUCCUGUUACUGCUAUCUUCACUUGUCGAAAAACCCAAUUGUCAGUGUCGCCACCUGCAAUCAAGAUAAAUGAAACGAUCCUUCCAUAUCUGCUGAUGUCUCUGGUGGAAACAAAUUGGGUGACAUGGCAAAGAUCAGAUGCAGCCUUUCGGGAAGAUCUGGUGAAAAGAAGAGAUGCAGCUAAGUUGCCAGCAGCACACAGUCUAUUGGAGGAACUAAACAGGUCAAGAAGCAUCUGUGCAGGGGAAAGACGGUCAACAUUUCAGGUUGAAACCCUGCAUCAGGAUUCUAAGCUGCUAAAUUUUCUUGAUGCUGACUUCCAUGCAAUUCAGGCUUAACAACAUAAGGAGAUCACCUGAACUACAGUGCAUGGCUGCCGGACCCUGAGUAAACAGUGGAGUGAGGAGUCAGGUCAGACUAUUGCAAGGAAAGCGUCCCAUAUGGAAACACAGGAAUUGACAGCAUCCACGCACACAGCGGAGGGGAGAUCAGCAUUCCAAUCACCAUAUCGUCACACACAGGAGAUUGCUGUGUCUACACCCAUGGAAGAGCGUCAUGUCUACACGAAUGUGAAAUUUCCACGGCAACACGCAGUGGAAUCCACACAGAUGCAGGACAUUGCCGUGUACACCUGUACAAAGCAGAGCGACGUGUCCGCACGCACAGAUCACCGCCUGCACAGACACAGGAGUUUGCAUGGCCGCACACGCAAGAGACCACCGAAUCUGCACACACAGAGGAAAUCACCAUAUCCCCAGAUACAAAGGAAAUUGCCAUGUUCACAUACGCGCAAAAGAUCACCAUAUCCGUGUACUGUCACAAGAUUGAUACCACCGCACAAACGCAGACCAUCGCUACGUCCAUACACAUACAGGUGUCACUGUUUCCGUGCACCUACAAGAGAUUGCCAGGUUGGCAGACACACACUAGUGCUCGCUGAGUCCGCACAGUCACAUGAGAUCACCAUGUCUGCACAAACAGGAGAUUGCUACGUCGCACAGGUGAUCACCAAGACUACACACACACACGACGGCGGAGUGUGAGGAAACACAGAGGAGACACAUGCAGACACUGAUGAGAUAAGCAUGUCCUCACACACAGGAGAUCUCUCUACAUUCACGGGAGAACACCGUUUAUACGCUCAAGGAGAUCGCUAGGCCCACGUACAAACAGGAGGUCACAGUAUCAACACACACACACGCGCGAGACUGCGAAGUCAUCGCUCCCCACACAUACAAUAGAGAACGGCACACACACACAGACAAAAUAUCGCUGUUUCUGCAUGCACACAGGAUAUUGUCAUAUCUUCACGCACUGUUGAUCGCCGAGUCUGCACACGCGGCAGGAGCGCAAACACGCUGGAGAUCACUCCAUUCAGACGCACUGAGGAGGCUACCCGGUCAACACACACAACGGACCGUCGCCUCCAAGGCACACACAGGAAAUCGCUGUGUCAAGAAACACACGGGAUUGCUGCGUCUUCACACACACACACACACACACACAGGAUAUUGCCGUGUCCAAACGCAAACUCUUACAGGAGAUUGCUGUGUCCUCACACACAGGUGAUAGCCAUGCCAGCGCUCACAGGACAUCAUUGCUCUUCACACAUGCAGCGGAGAUUGCCACAUCGGCACACACACACACAAUAUCACCCGGUACGGACGGACACAGGAGAUUGCUACAUCGCACGCACAGGUGAUCACCGAGACUACACACACACACACAUAUGAGAGCAGCGCGUGUGGAAACACUGGAGUUCGGACAUCCAAAUACAGAAGACAUCAGCAUGUCCACACGCAAUGGAGAUCAUCCUGCCCUCAAACACAGGAGAUCUCUGUAUCUACACUAACAAGAGAACACGCACAGUUGAUCACCGAGUCUGCACACAGGUGAGUGCUGGGAGUGCAAACACACAGGAAAUCCGUUCGUCCAGAUCACCGUAUCCACACAAACAGCAGAUCGAGUGCUGCAUCUGCACACGCACGGGGAUCGGUAAGUCCGCACACCAACGCACAAAAUUGACGCGGCUGCACACCCAUGCACAAACACAUGACUGCAUGCGCACACAUUUUACCAUGUCCACGGACACAGAGGAGGUCACGCUCAGUGAAUAUUAUUGUGUCUUCACACACGCACAGUAGAGCGUCUCCUGUGGAAGCACACGGGAAGUGACAAUGUCCAUGCGCGCACACGCACGCACACACACACACACACACGCGUGAUCAGUGCGUUCAAACGCAGGGGAGGUCACAAACAGAUCGCCGUGUCUACGCCAACGGGAGAGCGUCGUGUUUACAUGAAUGAGAAAUCUCCACGUCGACACACAGUGGAAUCCACGCAGAUGCAGAUGAUCGUGUACACAGGUACAGGGUAGAGUGACGCGUCGAGGUACCCAGAUCACUGCCUGCAGAGACAUGGGGUGGGCACCUCAGCACACACGUACGCACAGGAGCUGGCAUGGCCACACACGCAAGAGAACACCGAGUCUGAACACACUCAGAGGAAAUCGGUAUAUCCCCAGAUACAAAAGAAAUCGCCAUGUCCAUACAUGUGCAAAAGAUCAGCGUAUCCGCACACUGUCGCACGUCUAUGCGUCCGCGCGCGCGCACAUACACACCGCAUCGCUGAGUUCACAUACAUACAUACAGGUGUCGCUGUGUCCGCGCACGCAUAAGACCGCCACAUCUGCAUCCGCAUCCACAUACUAGUGAUUGCCGAAUCUGCACCGUCGCACAAGAUCAUGUCUGCACAAACAGGAGAUUGCUACGCUGCAUGCACAGGUGAUCACCAAGACUACACACACACACACACGACAGCAGCGCCCGAGGAAACACAGAGGAGUUCGGCAUGUCCACACACAGUGGAGAUCACCCGUCUUUCACACACAGGCGAUCUCCAUGUAGACAUUCACACUCAAGUAGAUCGCCGUCUCCACAAAUGCACAGGAGAUCACAGCAUCCACACACACAAAUAUCGCUCUGUGCGCACGGAUUACCACGUCUGCAUCCACAGUUGAUCUCUGAGUUUGCACACACACAAGAGAGCGCGGGGAGUGCAGACACACAGGAGAUACCCCCACCGGUCCAGUUAAAUUUAGGGGGGGUCAUCCGGUCCACACACACAACGGACCGUUGCCUCCAAGGCACAAACAGGAGAUCGCCGUGUCCAGAAACGCACAAGGGUUUGCUACGUCUUUGCGCACACAGGAUAUUGCCGUGUCCAAACGCAAACACAUACAGGACAUCACCGUGUCCACACACACAGGUGACAGCCACACCAGCGCUCACUGGACAUCAUCGGUCUCCACACAUGCAGAGGAGAUUGCUACGUCCGCACUCACAGUUCACCACCGAGUCUGCACACACAGGAGAUCGACGUGUCCAGAAAUGCACGGGGGUUCGAUGCAACUGCACACACACAGGAUAGUUCCAUGUCCAAACGCAAACACACAAAAGAUCGCUACGUCCACACACACACAGGAGAUUGUCAAGGAGGUUAUCACCUCCAAAAAAGCAUAGAUCAUCGCCAGGUCUAACUACACACAGGAGGUGACAGUAUCCACACACACACACAGGUGACUGCCCUGUCAACGCUCACAGGUCAUCACCAGACUCUCAACAUACAGUGGAGAUUGCCGCAUAUUGCCCUGUCAGCACGUCCAGAGGAGUUUCCCACACCUGUUCUCACAGAAGAUCGCCGAGUCUGCACACACAGGUAAGCGCUGGGAGCACAAACACAGAAGUGAUCGACCCAUCACGACACACUGAGGUCGUCUCCUAGUCCAGACACACAAAAUUGGCGUGUGUACAAACACACACUCACUGGAGAUCGCCGCGUCCGCACACACAGGAGAUCGUCCUUUCCACACUCAAUGGUGAUCACUGUGUCUACACACACAAGAAAUUGCUGUCUCCACACACACAGGAGAGCACUGUUCACGCACACAGAAGAGAUCACCGUGUUCACACACACACACAAGAUUGUCCCAAAACACAGAUCACUGCGACUAACACCUACACAGGUAAUCUUUGUGUCCACAUACACAGGAGAUCGCCUUAUCCACACGCACCAUACAUCAGCGCGUCCGCUAUCAUAUCAGUGUUCACACAUACAUGUGUUCACAGGAGACUGCCAUUUGUGCAUUCACAUGAGAUUGGUGUGUCAACACACUCAAGUGUUUGCUGCAUUCACUGGUGCAGAGCACCGCGGUUGUUUACACCGAUCACUGCCUCUACCUGCACACAUAGGAAAUCGGUCAGUCAGCACGGAUACGCCAUUUCUGUCGAGUCUGCACACAAAAAGGUGAGCACUGCAUGUGGGAACACACAGCGGAUCGCAACAUCUAAGAACACAAGAGAUCGGCAUGACCACGUACAAUGGAAAUCAUCGUGUCCUCACAGGAGAUAAUCAUGUGCACACACGGAGCGGAGAUUAUCCAUGUCGACGCUCACAGGAAUUUGCCGUGUAGACGGGUACAAAGUAGACCGCUGUCUCUGCACACAGAGUUCAGCGUGUCCAGAAACACACAUCUGUGAUGGCCAUGCUCACACCCAUGUCCACAGAGAUAACCGUGUUAACCGCGUUAGCAGACACACGAGGUGAACGCAUAUCGACACAAGUGAUCGUCUUCUCUCCAAACUCGAGAUUAUCGUGUCAGCACACACACGUGAUCAAGUGCUGCAUCUGCACGUAGACAGGGUUUCGUCAAGUCUGCACACAUACACACCAGAUUGGCACGUCUGCAUGUACAUGGAUGGACACAUCACCGUGUUAGCACACAGAUGCAGAAAUUCACUAUGUUUAAACUCAUAGCAGAUAGUUCAGUUUUCACACACACACACCAGAGCGCGGCGUGAGGAAACACACUGGACAUCACCACGUCCACUCACAGGAGGUCUCACCGUCCACACACACGAGAUUGCCAUGCCCACUCAUACAGGAGACAGCCACAUCCACACACAAACACGCACAGGAGUUCGAGUGCUGCAUUGGUAAAUCCACACAGCAACACAAGAUUGACGCGAAUGCACACAGACACACACACACACCAUCGCAUCCACGCACAUAAUACCGUGUCCACACAAAUGAGAAAUUAAAACAUCGACACAGAUGCAGGAAAUUGUCGUGUACACAGUUACAAAGCAGAGUGACGUGUCCACAUACACAGAUCACUGCCUGCACACACACGGGAGGUCGCCACGUCUGCGCACACAGGAGAUCACCAAGUGAGAGUGGGAGCAUUAGUGGUAGAGAUUAUCGAGGCAGCAGAAAAGGAGUGCCUGCGAGAUGCUGGGAGAAAGACUGACACGGGUAGCGGUUGCUGAAUUGCGUUGGCGAGAAGGUUAAUAGCUGUCAGCUUACACUGGCUAUCCACAGUGAGCUUAUCGAUGGCAGCCGCGAGAGCGAAAAUCGCAGACACCUGACUUCAGUUGUCUGGGGUAAGCUGUUGAGCAGUUGUGGCAAGGAUGAUACCUGUUCCUCCUGAUGAUAAUAGGCUGGUCGGCACGAGAUUAUCUGCCUCAUUGCUUCAGUAACUUCACCCAGAGCAGGUUCAAUUGCCUGUAACUUGUCUCCUACCUGACGAAUGAGCAUAUUCAUGAGUGCAAUUGCCGAAUCUGCUGCACUGCCGAGUCUGUGGUUGUGUCUGAAGGAAAUCGCUGCAUCCACAGACAGAGGAGAGACUGUGCCCACACACACGCAUGAGAUUGCCAUGUCGACACAUACAUACGAGAUCACCUUGUUCACACCCAUGGAAAUCAACAAAAGCAAAGGUAGGUGAUCACUGUGUCCAUGCACACACAAGCAGUCAACAGGGUGAUUUGCAAUGUAAAAGGUGGACAAAAUCGAAAAGGGAGAAUGCAGGACUGAAAGUGUUUUAUCUAAAUGCGUGCUUUAUAUGGAAUAAGGUAGAUGAACUUGUAGUGCAGAUACAGGUUGACAUAUGAUAUUGUGUGCAUCACUAAAUGGCUAAAGGAAGAUUAUAGUUGGGAGCUUAACGUCCAAGGGUAAAAAGGCUUUGAUGUAUACAGAUCCCAAACAUUUGUAACAUUGUGCUCUACAAAUUACAACAGGAGAUAGAAAAUGCAUGCCAAAAGAGCAAUGUUAUAAUAGUAAUAGUUGAUUUCAAUAUGCAGGUGGAUUGGGAAAAUAAGGUUGGUGCUGGAUCCCAAGAGGGUGAAUUUCUAGAAUGCCUACGAGAUGGCUUUUAAGAACAGCUCAUAGUUGAGCUAUUCUGGAUUGGAUGGUGAACAAUGAACUGGAAUUGAGAGAGCUUAAGGUAAAGGACCAUUAGGGGUAAGUGAACAUAAUAUGAUACAAUUCAUCCUGCAAUUUGAGAAAGGAAGCUAAUCUCAGGUAUUUCAGUAUUACAGUGGAGUAAAGGGAAUAGCAGAGGCAUGAGAGAGGAGCUGGUCAAAGUUGAUUGGAAAAGAACACUGGAAGGGAUGAUGGCAGAACAGCAAUUUCUGGAAGCAAUUUGAAAGGAGCAGGAUAUAUAUAUAUCUUAUAUCUUGAGUGGGAAUUCAGAAGGCAACUUACAAAGUCAUUAAAAGAAAAAGAUGGAAUACCAAGGUCAGCUAACUAGUAGUAUUAAAGGAGAGAUCAAAAAUUUCUUCAGAUACAUCAUGUGUAAAGGAGAGGCAAGAGUGGAUAUCAGAUCACUGGAAAACAAUGCUAGAGAGAGAGAGUAAUGGGGUGUCGGAUGAACUAAAGUAUUUUGCAACAGUAUUCACUCUGGAAGACACUAAUAGUAUGCCGAAAGUUCGAGAGUAUUGGGGGCUGAAGUAUAUGAAGGUGCAAUACUAGGGAGAAGAUGGUGUGCACCCCAGAGUUCUGAAAGAGGAGGCUGAAGAGAUUGCAAAUGCCACUCCAGUGUUCAAGAAGGGAGAGAGGCAGGAGAAAGUGGAUUAUAGGUCAGUUAGCCUGACCUCAGUGGUUGUGAAGAUGUUGGCGUUGAUUGGUAAGGAUGUGGUUUCGGAGUACUUGGAGGAACAUGAUAAAAUAGGCCAGAGUGGGUAUGGUUUACUCAAGGGAAAAUCUUGCCUAACAAACUUGGAUUUCUUUGCAGAAAUAACAAGCAGGAUAUAAAAAUGGGAAUUGGUUGAUGUUGUGUGCUUCGAUUUUCAAAAGGCCACAGAAGGGUCUGCAAAACAAGUUAAGAGCUCAUGGAAUUACAAAAGAUGCCAGCAUGGGUAAAGCAGUAGCUGAUUGGCAGGAGGCAAAGAGUUGGAAUAAAGGGAACCUUUUAUGAUUG
This is an RNA transcript of Hypanus sabinus (Atlantic stingray), 54553 nucleotides long. It is a transcript of the gene named PYM homolog 1, exon junction complex associated factor, with no coding region annotated. The record is from RefSeq and is a predicted model, not a curated record. NCBI's taxonomy places the organism in Eukaryota, Metazoa, Chordata, Chondrichthyes, Myliobatiformes, Dasyatidae. The transcript is spliced from 14 exons.